Molecule: long non-coding RNA, 82971 nt
Filed under: Coffea arabica (coffee)
Lineage: Eukaryota; Viridiplantae; Streptophyta; Magnoliopsida; Gentianales; Rubiaceae
Description: long non-coding RNA (CARA_LNC007483)
Source: RNAcentral
UUUUUUUUUUUUUUUUGCCUAAAUUCAGUGUUUGAAUUGACCAAUGUCAAUAUCCAAAUUCAAUAUAAAUGGUUGCAACUUUGUUGAUGCUAAGAUAAUCUAACCCACCAAGAAUACUAAUAUGGAGCUACCAAAAGCAAUACUAGAGACCACAUCCCAUGUCUUUAGGCAAAUCUGAUUGCAGUUUUUAUAUCCCAACAUUCUUUUUUACACAAUUGGCAUAAUAAUGUAAUCUUGCUCAAUCCAUGUUCCCUUUUUAGCUAUCACUUUUUAUUUUUUUGUUUGUACUCUGUAUCACCGUCAUCCUUUUCACAUUCAUUUAGUUUGACAACAAAUCUAAUCUGACAACUUGUCAUUUCGCAAUUUCAAUUCAAUAAUACUUAUUAAAAAAGUAAAACAAAAAGGGAGAGAGGAUCUAUUUUUAUAAUAAUGAGAAUUCGAGACGUAUUAGAUGAUUGUGUCGAGAGCAUUUGCGAGGAGAAAAAAGGUAGGGGAGAGAGUCAGAGAGAGAGAGAGAGAAUAAGAGUUUAUUUUGUGUGGUAGCCAUUGUUAAAAUAAAAUACUAGUUGGAGUUGUAGAGUUUUUUUUAAAGAAUUAUUUAUAAGUGAAGGAUAUUAUAGCCAUUUUACUACAUGAAGGGAGGUUAGUGUGAUUAUUCAAACCUAAAUGGAGAUGAGCAAAAUUGUCAGAAAGAUUAGGGGAGGUUUUGGAAUUAUCCCUUCUAAUUUAAUUAAGAAGUUGAUAUGGUUAGGUUUUAAAAACAUCUUUGGGUGAGUAUUUCCUUAGUCCUAAAAUUUUUAUCAGAAGAAUUAUUUAGUCUCCAAGCUUUUACUUUAUUUUAAUUAUUAAUUCUUUCAAUUUCAAUGGAUUUUGGUCCCCAAAGUUUUGUCCAAGUUCAAAUUACAAGUCCUUUUCAUGGAAACUCAAAUUUUGUACGAGUCAUUAGCUGGUGUAAUACUUUUGUAAGAAGCAUUCUAUACUAAUUAGUUACUAUGGAAUCUAUUAAGUAUUUUACAACUAUCAUAUAGUGAGUCUGUUUUAGUAAAAAAAUAUCUACUUUGUUGAAGGAAUGUAAUUAGCUGCGCAUGGAUCAAACUACUGUCAGAAAACAUCUUUAAUUCUGCUUGGUUGACCUAUUUUAUUUGCCAGAAAAGUAUAAGCUUUAAAUUGAUUAGAUAAUCAGAUUUUUUAGGCUAAAAGAAGGAAAUGAAAAGUUGAGGGAACAGAUAACGUUUAAGGUCGUUUGAUAUACUGAGAAAACACCAUUUGUGAAAAAGAUUUUAUUUGAAGAUGAUUAUCGUUCAAAAGGCUUUAGCAUUUUAGUAUCAAGCAGAGUAGGUAAUUACAUAACUUUUAAAAUAUAAGACUGGGAAGAAUUUUAGUUUUAAAUGGCGCAGCUUGGCUAGAUUUGUUGAUCAUUAACUAUUUCUAAAAGGACGACAACUUCAGAGAUUACUGCUUCAACUAAAUUUUUUUUUAAGAGAUUGAAGAGAACAAAAUGUAUGGUUGAUUCAUGUGGCUAUUCAAUUUUAGAUUAAUCUUUUAUUUUUAUGCUAUCUACCAUGAAGAUUUGUUUAUAUCAUGAUCCAGUUUAAUCAUUACGUGAGACUGAAGAUUACCUAAAAUCUAAAAUCACAAAUUUUGUGGCCUAGAUUUAUUUUAACUGAAACAUUGGGGGACCAAUUUGACACAUAAACCAAAUAUUAAGCACCAAAACUUCAUUUCACCCACAAAAAAAUUCUCUACAUUAACAGUACGAGGAGACACCUUUAAAGGUUGAAAUUGAUUAGCAGGGGCAGUUAUUAUUCAUCUAUAGUGGCCCUUAAACUAUUGAGAAACAGACGAAAUAAAUACAAAGAGACAUAAAAGCUUUGAAACUGCUAUUUAGGUUGGAUAAUAAAAACAAAGAGAAAUAAAAGAUUUGACCAAAGAAGACACAAGAAAAUACGAAAUUGAAAAAAAAAACUUCAUCCAAGUUAGAAAUUUCAGACUAAGUUGGUGAAAGCAUUUGGAUAAAUAUUUUUUGACUUGAAGAUUUUCGUCCAUUUCGCCCCUUUCGUGUGGCACUUGUUUUGAAGAUUCUUCCAUGCAAAGCUUUAUGCUUUUCUCUUACUCUGCGUAAUAUAUAGGAUGAAUUCUCGUAUUCUAUCAUCUACGGAUUGAUUGAUAAUAGAUUUGACGUUAACUGGAACAAAUGUAGGAGGUGUUGUUGAUGAUUAUAUUACCAGUACAUUUGUGUUUCAAGAUCUUGAUUACAGAUGAGUAUGACAUAUUAAUAGCUUAUAUCAAUUUUCAUUGUAUAUGGUAUUUAAAUGACUAGCACUUAUUCUUGAUGGUGUGCUAUAACAUUUGAAUAAUGGUUAAUUAAUGAGUACCUUAUGUACACUCGUUGAAAGGGGUUCUAUGUACACUCGUUAGAAUGUGUUUGGGUAGAGUAUUAUUUAAAAUAUUAUUUAGAAAAGUGACUGUAGCACCUUUUGUAAUAUAAUGUACGUGAUAUAAAAAUGUGAAUUGAAAAAUAUAUUUAUGAUGUACAUGAAAUAUUAUUUAGAAUAACUUAGUUAUCCAAACACAUCAUUUUUAGAAAAGUAUAAUUAAUUGAGAAAGUGUCAAGUGUAGGGAAUGCAAUAAUUGUAAUAUUUUAUAUCCAUAUAUUAAGUUAUGUCUGAUUCAAGCACCCAUUAGAAAUAUCCUUUUUAAGAAAUGUUGGUUAUGCAAAUCUUAUUACAAGCAUGCUUCAAGUUAAUUUAAACAGACUACGAAGGCUUGGAGAAUGAAUGGGUGAGAAACUUGGACUGAGUUUGUUUGGAUUAGUCUUUUGGAAAAGUUUGUUAUCUUUUUUAUUUUUGUUAUCCUUUCAAUUUUAGAUAUAUCAUAUUGUAAAAAGUGUUACAGUAAUAUAUAUAUAACUACUUUUACAAAAAUGUUUUCAUAACCCUAUCUCGAUUUCAAGAAAGAGGGAUCUUUUCAAUGAUGAUGUCCUUGGUCCAUAGAAAAAAUAAAGAAAAAUUUUGCACUCAUAUUAGAGAAAGGAGAAUUAUAAUGGCACUACCCUUUUUAUUGCUGACGCUCCCAAUGGCCCAUCUUUCUUAUUAUAGGAGAUUAUAAUGCCCUUUUUUAUUUUUAUUUUUUUCCUUUUCCAUGUCGGUAGAUUGGCCUCCCUAAAACAAAACUUUACAGACUGGAGCAACAAUGUAUCCUAUUCAAACACAGCCGCUUUAUUUUCUUCUUUUCUACAAAAAAAAAAAAAGAAGAAAAAUAACUAAGGCUUUCCAAAUCGACCAUGGAAGACAAAUUCUCUAGUAGAAAAAUAUUGAUAAAUUAAGAUCUAAUUAAGUCCAACAAUAUCGGUGAAAUUCAUUUUUUUUUGUAUCAAAACUUGGAUUCCUCAAAGUCUACUUGUGAUUGGUAUGUAUUAUGAAAUUUCUAUGGGGGUGUACAUUUUUGUAGUUCAAGUGAGUUGUAUAUUUAGUAGUUAAUUUUGUAUUUCUUCAAAGAUCUAAUAUUAUUCCCUUUUUUUUCUACGUGGUCUAGUACUAAUGCUCAUAAAAAAGUUAAAUCUUUGAAAGAGCAAUAAUUUGUUGGCCAUGUUUAAGCAACUGUAUUUAAUUGAUGUGUGAUAUUAACAAAUAAGGGAGUGCCAUUAAAGUUUCUGAUUUCAUAAUCUUAACGUUACUUUCUACAGCUUCUCUUAUCUAGCAUUCAUUAGAACACGAUGUUUUAGACAUCCUUCUACAUGCCAUGAUCCAUAGUUGGGGUUUCGUAUCAAUUGCUACCUUCCCUACCAACAUGAUUACACACCAUGAAUAAAAAUCAGUAGAUAUUUUGUCAAAAAAAAUGGAGCAUCCUUUAAUUGGCUUCUUCGAAUCCAUGAUCUUCAGAGAAACUUUUCUAUUAUAAGCACAUCACCAAUAUUCAUAUCUCAAAUGUUGGUUUCUACAGCUUGAAUUAAUUACUUGACCAUGACAAUAUUGCACCUUUAUUGGAGGGUUUAAAAGGGAAGAGAUGACUUGGAGGAGAAUUGGGGUCUUUUGAUUGUAAGGCUUUGAGAUAGGGUUAAUUACACUUACACCCCUGAAAUGGAUAAUAAUUUUACUUUGCCCAAAUGAAUCUAAAAAAUGGCCAUUAUGGCUAUCAAUUUUUUUUUUAAAUUUAAGUGGGAUGUCUUGAAUUUAGAAUCUCUUACUUAUAAUUUCUCCAUUUUUGUCACCCGAUACAACUCUUCCCUUCCCGAACCAUCAAUGUAUUUGAAAGACUAAACAGUAAGACAAUAGUUAGGUCACAUAAAUGAUUGAAAGCCAAUUACUUAAUCAAAAUUUGCUUCUAAUGAAAAGUGUAAAUCGAGUUUAUGUUGCUUUAAAGGGGAAUCUAGGAAAAUAUUGAAUUCAAAUAACAAACUGAAAUAUUUUGAAAAAGAUUAAAUGGUAGAGUAGUUUUUAUUUUAAUCUUUUGCCACCACUCUCACUAUAUUAAUUACAUUGUUGUAUCAGUAAUCCAAGUGCACAUUCCUCAUUCAAAACCCACGUGAAAAUAUUCAUUAAAUUAUAGGCUUUUAGUCAAUACCUAAUCAACGCGUAAAUUUUCUUUCUUCUUCCUCUUUUUCUUUUUUUUUUAAGCAUUUCAUUUUUCUAGAUUUUGUUUUUACCCAAUAGAUCAAAAAUUUCUUUUUCCUUCCUUUUUUAAAAAGAUCAACAUGGAAAUUUUUGCUUUAGUUUUUGUGUUUCGUUCUGAAGCAAAUCAUUGUAGAAUUUUUUGGCGUUUGAUAGCUGUGGAAGUGUAAGAUAGACAAAAUUAAGUGCACAAGGUCUAAUGUAAAGAAUAAAAAGCCUUCACUGUUGAGUUUUAAUAGCGAAUGUUGUGACAAUCAUCAGCUUUAGAAUUUAUUGAAUGAAUCUAUUUCUUUCUUGAAAUUGACAAUUUUUUUUUGGACUAUUACUUUAAAUCGACAUGUUCAAUUUCAUUUAAUUUCUGAGAAAUAUUGACCACAUAGCCCUCUAACCACUUUUGCCUAUUAUUUUUCUAAUUUAAUUCAAAACUUGAUAUAUUUUAGGGUCUUGAAAUCAUUUUGGGUGAAUAAUUUCCUUAGUACUCCUGAAGCAUUUAUAAAAUAAGAAAAUUAUCUAGUCUCUAAGUUUUUAGUUUAACUUUUUUCUUUCUUGAUGGUUUCAAUUCAAAUUGAUUUUGGUCCAUAAGUUUUGUCAAGGAUCAAAUCACAAGUCCUUUUGAUGGAAACUCAAGUUUUUGUACGAGUCCUAUGCUAGUAUAAGAAUUUCGUAAGAAAUUAGUCUCUACUAAGUUACUAUGAAGUUCGUCAAGUAAUUUUAACUAUCAUAUAGUUAGAGAUGGAUUAGUAAGGGGAUAUUAGGAUUCAUCUUUGGUGGCUCUUAAACUAUUGUAAAACAAACAAAAGAAAUACAAAAAAAAAAAGAAAUACAACUGUUAUCCUUUUUUUUUUAUAAUAUAGAACUGCUAUCUAAGUUGGGUAAUAAAAAGCAAUAUGAGCCUAAAAUGUUGCUUCUGCAAUAAGCUGACCAAAAAAGACAAGAAAACAACAAAUUGGAAAAAAUAAAAGAAGAUUAUCAAUGUUAGAAAUUUCAUACUUAGUUGGUUAAAACAUUUUAACAAAUAUUUUUUAUUUGACUUGAAGAUGCUCUUUCGUAUCACGCUUUCGUGUGGCAAUUACCAGACUAAAACGGUUACCGUUUUCUUUUUAUAAAGCAUUGAUUUGAUUAGUCAACUCCUGAAAUGGACAAAUGAUUGCCGUUUUCUUUUUAUAAAGCUUUGAUUUGAUUAGUCUAGUCCUGAAUUGGCCAAAUGAGAAACUUCUAUUAUCAGCUACUCUCAAAAUUUCUUCCUUUGUUCACUACCUAAUCCAUUUUGGUAUUUCGAACCGUGUGAUAAAUUAAGACAAGUCAAGCCACCCAUAUAGACUGAUAGCAUGAAAGCAUGUGUACGAAUCCUUUGGACUUUUUGAUUGUUUUCACUGCAUGCUUGACCGAGUAUACUCAGAAUUUGUGCACUUGUUUAAAGUCUAGGUGCAUAUGUUACUCUAACAUUAUUAGAUAUACAAUGAGGGAACCUUGGCCGACACCUCGGCUGCAUCCGAGUUCUCUCAAACCCGACAUUGCCCCCGAGUUCUCUCAAAAUCAAAAUCACCAGAUGAUUCCUGAGAAGAACUCGGGAAGGAAUACCCUAUUCAUUUGAUUAAUGUGACUUGUGCCGCCUAAUGCUGUACUGUGACAGGCCUACGGCUAACAUUGCUGAGCAACUUCUACCAGUGAGAUUAGCCUACGGACCCGAUUUCUCAUGAUUCUCGCCCUUCACCACUAGUAUAAAUACCUUCCAUCCCUCCCAUGAACGAGAUAACGACUACUACUUCCGCUUCUCUGAAUACCUUGGCCUCUCGUCAUCCUUGCUUAUUUAGGCAUCCGAGAUGCGUUGGGGGAUAGUCUUGCUCUGUGUGUAAGACGUACCUCUUUUAGAGGCAAAUUAUGACCCACAUGAUUGAUUAAUAUUCUAAUUAAUUGAUUAACAAUUAAUUGGUAUCUCCCAUUAGGCAAUGAUUGGUGAUUGGUAUCCUGAUUAAUUGAUUGACAUUUUGUCAAUAAUUAAUUAGUAUAUUCCAUUUGUUAGUGAUUGUGUGACGCCCCGAAAAGAAUGAGAGUGAGAACCCGGAAAUUUUCUAAUUUUCUAGGGUUUAUUUUUUUUAUCGCCCGCCUUUUCUACAUUUUCUUGAUUAGAAAAAUUUCCCAAAUAAAGUUUAUGAGCAAAGAUAGUUUUAAAAUGAUUUUUCUAAUAUCGGUUAGUUUUUGAGAAAUUAAGAGCGUAUUUUGAACGUGGGACCCGCUACUGCGGUAAAUGCAUUAUAUUUUUGACAACUUGUAGGAAUUUUGUAUUGAGUGAUAUUAUUGUACAAGGUGUUAAGAUAUUUGUCUUGGAGAGACAAGAAGAUAAUCUCAAGCUUAAAGGGUGACAAGUGUCACCUUGUUAUUGAAGGUUGGACUUUGACAUUUGACCAUCUUACUACCUUUACCAAAUAAGUACCAAAUUGAUCCAAAAUUACCUUCAUUCUUCAUCAUCUUGGCUGAGCUGCACAAGGAGAAAAGAAAGGAAAGCUUUCAUCUUACUUCUUCAUUUCUUGCUCCAAUCAAACAAUUUAACUGAUUAAACUUGGAUUUGCUCCAUAAAAACCUUUCUCUUGGUAGUAUUAAGGCGUGUAGUGAAGUGGUUUGAGAAGCAAAAGUGCUAAGUUGGGUCUUUUCUUGGGUUUGUAAGGUAAGUGACUAAGGAACCUUUCCUUUGAUCUUGAUAAUGUUCAAUUAGUGAUUGGUGGUGGUUGAAUAAGUGAUUUUAUGGUUGAUUUCCUGAUUUUGGUUGAAAAUGAUGAAGUUUUAUUAUUUUUGGGGAUUUUUCUGUUUUCAUAUGGAUAUGAUUAUAGGGUCAUGUAUGAUGAUUGGAAAUGAUGUUUAAUGACUCUAGGAGGUGGAAAAAGUGAUUAAUUGCAAUCAAUUUCUGUUAAGUGGAAAACUAGGUUUCAAUGUUCUUUAUUCUGUCCGAAUUUAUAGCUCAUAGAUAGAGGCCGAAUUGGCCUUGGCUUAAAACAUGAAAGUUGUAGGGAAUGACAUUUUAAAGGUGCCUACAAAAUUUCAGGUCAAUCGGAGUAGUGUGGAAUGAGAAAAGUGGAAAUUACUAUUGCUGAUCUGGUUUUACCCGAAAUUGAGAAGUGCGCCUGUAAUUGGUUGUUUUGGCUGGAAUUGCUUCCGAAUUGGUUGUUGAGGCCUUCUGAUGAAAUUUAUCCCUGUUUCUUAGCUUUCAUCUGGUUUUGGAAUUUCUGGAUUUGGACUUGUAGAGCCUGAGUUAUGAUGUUUCCGCUAGAAUACGUUUUGGUGAAUCUGUUUUACAUUUUUGAUGUGGUAUCUUGCAUUUUUGACCUGUUUGCACUCGAAACUGGGUUGAGUGACCUUCUGCAAUAUUGUACCCCUAUCUCUUAGCUUCGAAACGGUGGAUCUUUCACCUUCAUCCGACAAUCGUAGAGCCUUUGGUACCAUUACCGCAAAAUGACGUCAAAACUAUUUUUCUGGUUUUGAGCUUAACUUUCAUUUCCAGACUUUUUCCUAGCUUGACUUGUCUUUGUACUACUUGGAGCUUGCUGAAUGACUAUUGGAUGAACUUGUUGUUGUGUGUGUACCUUUGGGACUGGUUGAGGAAAUAAUGAAGCCAUGAUUGAUGGCUGGAAAAGUAAGCAAAUUUAGGGGAAGUGCUGUCCGAACUUUUAAAGGACUUGUUUGCAUUGAGUUUGUGAUCUAAGGCUUGGAUUUGAGCAAGGCAAUGCUAUAUAAUGGAUAGUUUCGGAGCCGUGGAGGUGAGUGACCUCAAACUAUUUUUGAAGUUAUUUAUGAACCGUUUCCUGCAUUAUUUACUUAUGAACUGUUUCCAAAGUUACUUUUGUACCGUUUUAUUGCAUUAUUUACCUUUAAACUGUUUCCAAAGUUACUUUUGAACUGUUUUCUUGCAUAUCAUGCGUGCUUGCAUGUGAGUGUUCCUUAUUUGGUAUAUUUUCUUGACUUCAUGACUUGUAUUAUUGAUUGAUAACGUGUUAAGUGCUUUGAAUGAUUUCCAAAACGAGCUUUCUAGGCAAGUGUGUACUUUAUCGCACUCGACCUAAAUAACUGUGCAAUUUUCAAGGAUUUAAUUAUUGAAAUGCUAGUUGCGCAUGAUGUAAGCCUUUUGGGCUGAACUGGCCAUUGCCCCUUGUUACCGGUCGUCUCGAGCCAGCAGCGGUCUCGGUCAGGCGAUUAGGGACUUGGGUGAACGUUUGGUAUACUCGAGUAUUACCUAUGUAGGUUGGUGGAGCUUGGUGGAGCUUGGUGAAUGAAAUGAACGAACGAACGAACGAGGGGUUUAUUGAUAAAUGAAAAAUGCAUUUUCAAAUGAAUGAAGGAAGGAGAAUGUCAGGAGAACGAAUGAAUGAUCGAAUGAAUUGCUCCCUGUGAGCCGUAUCUUUUCAUGAAUGUUACUAUCGCUUUCCAUUGUAAAUGUUUCUUGAAUUAUUGAUACUCCAUAUUUGCUGUUUUGCAAAUGUUGUAGUUGUUUCUGGACUUAUCAUUUGAUUUAUGACAUCAUUGAUAUAUGACAUCAUUGAAAUGAACUAUUGUGAAACCGAUUUGAUUACUGAUUUUUUUUCUGGUUACUCGCUGAACUUUUAGCUCACCCCCAAAAUGUUUUAUUCCCCUCCACAGGGCUCGUGGCGAAGAAAGGGCUUGUAGUGCUUAUUCAUGUGAAUGGAUGGAUUAUCUCGUGUAUGGUUUGAAUUUGGAUUUCCUUUUGUGUAAUAGUUAUUAUUAGGGAUUAUAAUGAAUGUUUGGAAUCGAUCGGAUGUAUACAUACGUUCCACGCUUGGAAUUAGUUUCCGCUUCGUUUUGUUUAUAUGUAAAUAUUGGAGAUUUACAUUGUAAUAUUUGAGGUUUAUUCUUGUAAUUCAUUUGAGGAUUGUAGUGAACGACUGAGUCCCGGCGAGAGCUGGGCAGGCGAUCCGCCGAACCCUGGGGUACGCCCUAGGGAGAAGUGGGGUCGUCACAGAUUGAUUGAUAUCUAUUGUUAAUUGACAUCUUAUUCAAUUAGUUAAUCAAUCAAUUGGUCAGAAAUAUUAAUUUCAGUUAUGAAUUUUGGCAAGAUUUCCUUGAUGGAAGGAAACCCUAGGGAUUUUUGUAUUUGCCAGUUAGGGUCCCUAGCCUAUCCUAUAAAUAGCCUGUGGUAUUCCAACAAUUGUACACUUUUGGAUUAGGUAUAGGCUAGAAGAUCCUUACUCUAAAUUCUCUUUCUACUUUUUCUUCUUCUACAUAUUUUAUAUUGUUAGAAUAGAAAAGAAGAAGUCAAAGAUACAAGAAGAGAUCAACUUGUGCUUGACAACAAUGGUUAGAGGUAAGUAUAUUUAAAUUUUCACUGCGUAGUACAUUCACACGUACAUAGUUAGUUUAACAUGUGGUAUCAGAGCCAACCUCUAACCAUGUUGUUUAGCUUAUAAUUUCAUGGUUUAUUGGCAAUCUGAUAAAAGUUUUAGAGAUUUGUAUCAAGUUUAAACGAAUCGAAUUUAAUUUGCCAGGGGAUCUAUGGUCUAUUUUCUCAAUAAUUGAGAUUUAUUGACUAAUCCUAUGUAUAUGUACCAUUCAUAUGAUACCUUAUUUGGUUAUGCAAUUCAUCCAGAUUUUCUCCAAUAAUUUGGUAUGAUUGCAAGUAAUUUGAAUGUUUCUUGGACUUACUUAUUUGUGAUUGUAAGGGUUAUAUGUAUUGAUUGUUAUUAUCAAUACAAUAUAACAAUUCGAGAAACAUAUAAAGAGUUGUUAUAUUCAACAAUCAAAAGAUUAAUAUCAUAUUAAUCUAUGCAAGAUAAUUGGUUUACUUUAUAUGAAUGGAUCUAGUGGUUUAUUGAAUCUUUGCUAUCUUAUUAUGAGAUAAAUAUCUAAAGGUAUGAUUUCAAUAUUAGUUUGCCUCCAUGUUUCUAUUGUUAUUUGGAAUUAUGUAAUAUUUUGUGCACUACACUUAUGUCCAUUUAUCUCAUAUUAUAAGGUCAACAUUAGUAUGAUUGAUUACAUUUAAAUUUCAGAGAAUUUCCUUUAUAAAGUGUGUUUUGCAUCUCAAUUAUUUGAUGCAUGAAGUAUUUUAAUCACAUAAAGGCUGGUGGUUAAAAAUGAAUAUAAGAAAGAAAAAAGGGAAUUAUGAAAUCCUUUUGUCAAAAUACAGACUUUUGACUAUUUUGAUAUCCUUAUAAAGUCUAGUACACUUUAUGUUUGAGAAUAGCCAUAUCAUCUCAAACAUUGAUGUACUACAAUUUUGAUCACAUAUGGUUUAGUGAUCAAAAUCAAGGAUUUUUUGGUCAACAAAUUGACUACUGGUUUUCUAUGAAUUUUCAUUAAAAGUUUUCUUACAUCAUAUAUUUGGGAGUAGCCACAGCAUCUCAAAUAUACGGUGUAAAUAACUUUAAUCACAUAAGAUUGAGUGAUUAUAAAAGGAAAGGAAAAUUUAAUGAAAUUCAGUCAAUAUAAAGUUUUUUGACUAUUGAUAAAUAACAAGAUGCCAUGUUAAGAAUUUCACUUUUACAUUACUAUUUGGGAAUAGCCACAUCAUCUCAAAUAUUUAAUGAGAAGUUUUUCAUCACAUAUAGUUUGGUGAUUGAAAUUAUGAAUUUUUAGUCAACAUAUUGACUAGUUGACAAUUUUUCUUAUAAUGCCGUAUACUUAGGAGUAGCCACAGCAUCUUAAGUAUAUUGGUGCUUCGAGAAAUUUUGCAUUUCUUUUUCACAUAUUGUUGAGUUAUUAAAGAAAUUAAAAAAACAAUUGGCAUCUAUAUCAAGUUGCAAUUAAUUCAUUGAAAUAGUUAUCCGGCCCCACAGGGAGGUAAUUAUUUUGAUAAGAUUAAUUGACAUAAGAUGGUAAAUUAGACAGUCAAUUAAGAGAUAUUUCUAUGCCCACAGGUACGAAUUAUUUCUUUAAUUCAUUGAUCUAGAUUACUAAUCUUAUGAUUAAGUAAAGUAAAUGCUAUGUAUAUUUGCAACCUUUGUCCACAGAAAGGUUUGAAUUUACUAUUUGAAUUGACAUAAGGUUGAUUCAAAAUCAAGGUACAAAUUUCAUAGCUUUUUUUUUUUUUUUGAUAUAGUUAUUGAUUGUAAAUUCAGUGUUUCAUUCCAAUGAUUUUAUGGUUCUUAUUAACUUGAUUUUUAAAUUCAUUCUCUUUUGUUUUGGUGCAAGUUUUAAAUUAGCACUUCCAUGAGAAUGAACAAACCAUUCUCAUAAUGUGGAUAUAUUUGCUAAUAUAGAGGUUGAGUAUGAGAAUUAGAAGCAAUUUAAUAGUUUGCUCAUUUUGUCUCAUAUUCAUAUAAAAUAGGGUUCAAACCCUAAUUAUUUAUAGUUAAAUCUUGCAUGAAAGCCAUAAAAGAAAUUGUUGCAAGUUUUAACUAGCACCAUUAGAAGGCUUUCUUUUGUGACACUUAAAUAUUGAAGUGUAUUUUAGCUCAUUUCUUAGAGUUGAGAAUUUUGCUAUAUCAUUAAUUAAAGUCCCCUCAAAUUGAGAUUGAGUUAUUUCUAUCGCAUUUCAAUCUUGAUUCUUUCAUGCAGAAUUUCUUAACCAUUCAAACCUUUAUAAUACACAUAAAGCUAUAUGGUUAAUUACUUGUUUUAACCAUGUGUAUUAAUAAAGGAUAAAGAUGUUAAGAAAUAAGAGAAACUUAACCUUCAUGAAAGAAGAAAUGGAAAGAAAGGUAUUUUUGUUCUCAUUAAAUCAAACAGCGAUAAAGACCAACGUUGUUAGUAAGAGAAUGAUAUUUGAUACUCUACUUUGAGAGAAAGUAACUCAAAAGAAAAUCUCAAUUGUUGAGUGUUAUAAAUUGUGAUAUAUUUGGUGAAUUGACUAAAACUGUCAAUUUACGCUGCCAGUAUAAUAAAUUUCUGAUUAUAUGAAAAGUGAACAAAAGUUUCUUUAUAGAAACUUAAAAAAAAAAUGUUCACAUAAAGAUAAGUGAUGUGUUAUUGCUCAUUUAAGAAAAUUUGUUUUUUCAAAAAACAUUAUUUUCUUGUUACUUUAGAAUUUCUAUUUUCAAAUUAAUUACUAUUGGGUAUGAUUAUGAAUCUCAUUAUCCAAUAGUAGAUUUUGAAAAUAGUAAAGUUAUUAAUUCUAAAGUUUCUAGUACUAUCCUUUGAAUUGAGCAAUAAACUGCACUUGAUCAUAAUAAUUAUAUUGGCAGCAAGUAUGUUUAUAACUGGAGAAACUCCUAUAGAAAAGAAAAGAAGAUAAAAAGAGAAAUAAAAUAGAAUAAAAGAUGUUUUACUCCAAUGGUUCUUGUACUUAGUAACCAGGAGUCUUCAUCUACAAAUGUCGACUUUCGUGUAAAACGUCACUUGAAUUAAAAGCAUACAAAGCAACUUGAGAAUGUGAAUUGUUUAGUAACUGGAAAUUUUCAUCUAAAAAUAUCUAUCUUCACAUCAAAAGCCACUUUCACAACUUGAGCAAUAUAUAGCUAUGUUAUAUGAAUAAAAUCCUUUGUUGAACUUGAGAAGAGAGAUCACCAUAGGUUUAGCUAACAUUUUUAUUAACCAUAUGAGUUACUUGUUUGUGAAAUUGGGUAAGAAUGAGAAAUUGAGUUAAAUUAGUUAAAACUAUGGUAUAAUUAGCUCUUCUUCACUUGAUAUUAUGUGUACUUGAGUUUAAUUGAAUAAUUACAUAAUGGUUAUUUACUUUGUUUUGAGAAAAUAAAGUUGAAUUGUGCACAUGUGUUUAUUUUCAAAGUUUUGGAUCAUUGUUGGUUUGUAUUUCUUAUUGCUUGAGGACAAGCAAUGGUUCAAGUGUAGGAAAGUUUGAUAAAUGUGUAUUUGAUAUGUUUUAAGUGUGUUUUAUUAGUCAGUUUUGGUGUGUUUUAUUUAGUUUUAUAACUAAUUAGUUAGCAUUCUAGUGAAAAUAUGCAUUUUGUUAUUGAAGUGGUAAAAAUUGCAAACUAUAGAUUUUAAUGGUAAAAACUUCAUAUUUUUUGAGGUUUAAUUAUUCAAUCAUCAAUUAGAGUGUUGAGAAGAUAAUUGGAUGAUUAUUGAUGAUUUGAAGUAAUUAAAGGAAGACAUGAAGUGCAAAAUGUUCAAAGGAUGAAAUGAAAGUUUUACAGUUUUGACAUCUUGUGGUAUUUUGGCUAUAUCUUAAACUAUAAGUAUUGGAUUGAGGUGAUUCUUGUAUCAUUUUGAAUCUAAGAGAUAGAUCUACAUUUGGUAUGCAGAUGUUGAAAUCCAGUUCAGUCGUUUUCCUUGUCAAAAUGUUAAAAUAUAGAAGCGCAUUUUUGUUAUCGAAAGCUAAAACAAGGUUCUGACCAUUUGAGGGUAGGUUGACUAUGUGAGAACCCUGAAAAUAGAUAUAUAAGCUAGUGUAUAUUUCAUUUGCAUUUCUUUUAUUCUUUAAUAAUUUCCAGAAUUACUUUUACUUGUUCGCAAUUAAGUACGUAAAAAUAGGUUUAUGUGAAAAUUGACACCCUUGGAUUAAAUUAUUAUUCCAAUUGACUUUAUAUUAUUAAAUCGAUAAAUUUCGAGUUAGACUAACUCUAUUUCUUGAGAAAUAAUAAUUGGAAAUUCUAAAAACUAAUUUAAUCGCUAAAUAAUAUAAGAAUUACUAGGAACCUUAAUAUUCAAGUUUAAUCGAUAAUUAUUCGAUAAAAAUUGUUUAGGUAUGUUAGGGUAUAAUUAGGCGUUUAAUCACGCUUGGGGAUAAUUUUUAGAAGUAAGUUAGAAUUGAGAAAUUAAGUUGAGGUUGGGGAGCAAAGUGAAAAGACUAAAAUGCCCUUACAAUUUCAUGCAAACCAAACGAAACCUCUGACCGCAAGUUUAAUCACUGCAACUAUCGCCAAUUCUAUACGCAAUCGAUUCUUACACGAAACCUCUGCUCCUUAAACCACGGCACCACAAUACCGUUCUCUCUAUUUCACGUCUAAAACCACAAUUCCAAUUCCUUCUCUACACAAGCAAACCGCAAACCAUUUCCUUCCUUCUUAAUACCGAGAUACUGCCUCUUCAUCAUCUCAUUUCCUUUGCACAAUUUCACCGCAGCUGCUACUCUUCCUCUCCACAACCACACCUCACCUCUUCUUCUACCUUAGACCAAGAGCAUCCGAGAGAGAGGGUUACCUGGUGAGCUGCAUCCGAGAGCAAGGGAGGAGGGAUCGCAAGCUGCCAUUUCUUCCUUUCUGUUCUGACCGUAAGUUGAGGGAAAAUACCAGGAACCAUCGCACCUUUUCUCUACUAGCUGUGGCCAAUUCCAACUCCACUCAACCGAGCUCAACCUCACCACAACACCACUCCAGCCGCAACUCAGGAACCAGGACAACCGACUGCACUUGAAACCGAGAGCAAGGAAGGAAAAAUUCUGGAAUUUUCGUGUGCGAGAUUAGCUGUUAUCUGAGGUAAUUUCCGGACCAAUUAGGUUGAAUUCUAGUAGAGGAAGCUAUAUCUGAGCUUGCAUGUAAGGAUUGUGCAGACGGAUGUUGAAAUCAAACCAUUAGAAAAAUUUCUGUUCGGUUAAAAUGUUGCUGCCGAGAAACUGAAGUGAUAUUGCAACUCCAUUUUUGUUUUUCGUGACAAUCUGAACACCUGAGUGUCAUUAGCUGAGUGAAAACUUGAAGAUUAAGACCCUGCAUGUUGAUUUGUGCAUUCGGAUGAUGUGGUUAAAGCAAAGAAAAAUUUCUGUUUUGGUUAAAAAUUUCUGCCGAGGAGCUGGCUUGAAAUUGUAGUUUUAUUUCUGACUUCCUGCGACAAUCUGAGUUUGAUUAGGUGUUUAACUAAUCAAAAACAAGAAGUUUAAGUUAUCUAAGAACUUGCAUGUGGAUGAUAGGCAGCCGGAUGGGAGUUUUAAGAAAAGAAGUUCGGUUAUGUGCAUGUUUUGGAGCUGCCGAGAGCUUAGCUUGUUUAUGGCAGCCUGAUUUGGUUCAAUUUUAUUGUUUGAGCUUACAACCAUAAUUAUAUAGUUAAUCACAAGUUAAUUAGGCUCUGCAUGCGGCUAAUUAGUUAGUUUAAACCAGAAAAAAAAAUGAAAUCAAAGUGUAAUCUGCCAAGCAUGUUCAUCCGAGUCAAGCAGGAAAAUUUUAGAAAAUUUUGAUGUUAAUGGUUGUUGUUUGAACUCGAUUUCUGAACUGGAAAUGUUUAUUUUCUAGCUAAGUAAUUGCAUGAGGGAGUUGAGAGUUUAAAAGCAUGUUUUAACCCAGAAAAUAAAAUGAAAACAGAACAUCUCUUCAUGCAUGUUCAUCCGUGGCUGAUGGACAAAAUUUCUGGAUUUUUUUCUGGAUAAUUUUAGUUGCUGAAUGAAUCUAGUUUUGAAGUGGAAAUUUUUACUAACUAGCUAAGUGUUAAAUGCUGAAUUUGAGUACCUAACACCAUGUUUAAACCAAGGGAAAAUUUAAUCUAAAGUAUAUUAGUUGCUGGAAAACUUUGGAAGCCGCAAGUUGGAACCAGAGAUUUCAGUUUGUUUUAGAAGUUUAAUUGGUUUCUGAAAAUUUAUUUUAUUUUUUUUCCUUGGAAUAUAAUGGUUUAGAAAUACCGAGGAGUUGUAAGUAUUAAGUUGUGUAAGUUGUUUAGCAAUGAAAUAUUUGAUAAAUUGAAGAUGGAACCAGAAAAUGUUGGUUUAUACAUGCUGGAAUUUCUUUUGUGGUAGCCGAAGGGUGAGUUGGAAUCUUAGCUUGGCUUUUAAAUUUUUUUUCCUUGAAACAUGAUGGAUGGAAAUGCCUGGAAUAUGUUGUUUUGGAGUUUUAUAAGAAAUGUAUGAAUGCCCUGUUUCUUCGUGAAACUGAAAUUGGGUUUGGAUUGAACUUUUAGCUUACUUGUGGUUUAAAUUCUUAAUUGAAUUGUGGUUGGAAGUAAUUGGUGUUGUCAAGGGCAAAUGAUUGAUGAAGCCCUUGGCCAUUUGAAUGAUUUUAUAAGUAUUACUGGGUGAUAAAAUUUAAUUGCUAGAAUUUCUUGGAGGCCUUGCUUUUAUUUUUAUUUGUUUAAGCUGAGCUUGCUGAAACCAUGUGCUAAUGAUUGAUGAAGCCUUGGUCAUUCAUUUUAUUUUUAUCAGAAAUGCAUUUGUUGAAAUCUAGGGCUAAUGAUUGACGAAACCCUAGUGAUUUGCUAUGUGAUUUUGCCAUAUUUGAUCCAUAAUAUGAUUUCAAAACGGAAUCGGAGUUGUGAAAGUCGUUUCUACCUUGCGAACUCGAGUAACUGUGAUCAAAUUAAUCAAAAAUAUUUUUCAGCUAGUAUUAAAUUAUAAAAACUCAAUAUCUAGUGUUUUGCCUAAAACUUUCCAACCCGAUAAUUUCCUUUAGCUCAAACUAGCCUUAUUACCUUGGGAAAAUGAUUUUCCUAGUUUCUAAAACUCUAGCCUUGUUUUACUCCUUUUCUUUUCUCUAAAAAUUGUCCUUGGCUAGUUAAUUAUAGGAAAAGUACCAAAAUACGAGUUUUAAUAAUUUUAGUUAAAAAGCAUAGAAACUUGCUCGGCAAGAAACCUUAUUUUUCUAGGUAAAAUAGUUUUAGUAAUAAUUUUUGUAAAAAUCAUAGCUUUAAAGAAAUGUUCAAAGUAACUUCCUAACGUGGAUUUUAAGAGGUUUGUCGACUUAUCUCAAGAAAAUAAUAUUAGUUACCCUUUUAUAAGGAAAAGUAUUUUAAGGAAAACUAUAAUAAACAUUUCUUCUACUUUUGUCAAGUUUUAACCUAAAGGACUCUUGAUUCUUCUAAGGAAAAGUAUACUAGUAGUAUAUUAGAUAUACCUCGACGUCUAUAAGCUUAAAAACUGAAUAGAAUCUUAUAGUUUCAAAAUUUUGAUUUUUAGGAUAUUACGAGGACGCGGAAUUCGAUUUCCAACUUGAUAUCUGAACUCCACUCUUGGUGAGUGUCCAUGCCUAUUCUAUGUUUACCUGGUUAAAGUGCUUUCUUGACUCAAUACGUGAUAAUUUGUAAAACUAGUUUUUGAUCCAUCGAAGUGAGCAGUGUAUACUUUAUCGCACUAACCGUUCGAUUGGUGACUUGCGUGAAUAAUUUUCUCGUGAAUCCAUAAAUCUAAAUGUAGUUACGUCGUUGGGUGAAUCCCUCGACGCGUGAAUCUAACUACCAUAAAUCUAAUCUAAAUGUAGUUACGUCGUUGGGUGAAUCCCUCGACGCGUGAAUCUAACUACCAUAAAUCUAAAUGUAGUUACAUCGUUGGGUGAAUCCCUCGACGCGUGAAUCUAACUACAAUAAUGUCGUUGGGUGAAUCUCUCGACCAAUCAUCUACGGGUAUAUCUCGAGUAUACUGCGUCUUUAGUCGGCGAGCGGGCCCGUGACAGGGGUAUGAACGGUGACGGGUUAGGAUUAAAAUGAGUGGAUCUACAUGGAUUAUAAGUAGUGAGAGUUGAUGGAGGGUCAACUACGAUAAAUGGUGAUCAAGCGAGGAAAGUGGCUCCUGAGAGCCCAUGUAUCCUACCUUGUGCUGUUAUCCGCUUUCCUAAUUGUUUAAAUUUGCUAUGUCAUUAACCGCUGUUUGUUAUUACGUGAUUGCAUGUUUUGGGGCAUCACUGAGCGUUAGCUCACCCCACGUUUAUUGUUUUCCUUAACAGGUUCUGGAAACUGAAAGUUGGAUGCUUACUUAUGUUUUCCUUUUGGAAUGUAUUUGAAUACUAUGACUUAUUCUGUGGGCUGUAAUGUGUUAAUUGGGAUAAUGUACUUUUCUUUUGGAUUGUCACUUGAAGCUAGAAAAUGUGUAAACCCUAAUUCGAUUGCUUGGCUUGUAAGUUUGUAUUAUGGAUUUAUGUGUUUAUCUAUCCGGUUUGGUACGACUUUAUACUUUGAUACGUGGCACGUGGGACGUUUAAGAGCCUCGACUGGCUAAUUUAUCACUGCUAUCUCUGAAGUUAAUGUGGAUUUAAGGAAGAUCUUAUUCGGGGAAAAUUGUUUUGUAAUAGAUUAGGAUAUUCUUCGAAGGGAUUUGGGUUAGAAUGCUUGCGUGAGUCCUGGCAAGAGUUGGGCAGACGGCCCGCCAACCCUUUGGUUCGCCUCAGGGGGAAGUGGGGUCGCCACAGGUGGUAUCAGAGGCUCGGCUAGAAAAGUUAUUUGAAAGACAUAUUAGGUGUGCUAGAAACCCUAAUCCUCUCUAGGAAUAAGAAUUGAGACCAUUAGAAAUACCUUAAGUAAUAUACGAUCCGGUUAGCUAUUUAGGUUCUAACCUUUAAGUGUUGAUUAUUUUGCAGGUAUGGAGAAUGGUAAUGGGCAUGCUAAUGGUAGUAGCGAGGCUAAUGGACACGUAGAGCCGCUAAGAUCCAUUUCCUAUAGACCUCGAGGAGGAGGAAACCGAGUUCGAUACUCCCCAGCUGAUAGGCACCCUAGGUGCUAGUGUAGGGCCACGUACGCGUAUCCCAACGCGUUGGUGUUGUCUCUUGAUGAUGAGCGCCGCCACUUGUGGGACGUUAACCACACCUUGACCCAGGAUGUGGAGGAGUUGAGUAUCAUGGUGGAUACCCAGUUCGACCGCAUAGUCGACUUGGAGAUUAGGCUAACUGCUGAGCAUAAUAUGCUGGAGGUUGCGCGGUUGGAGAUAGAGCGACAGAGGUCUAGAGUGACCCGACUUGCUGAGGGGAUUCGUGAUAGGAGUGCUAGCAUCAGGGCUGAUGCUUCUAUGCUUAUGGAUGAGGCCACUAGUUACCUUCAGGAUAACGAGCAGGCAGGCACGGAGGAGGAUCCGGAGGAGGAUCCAGAGGACGAUCCGGAGGAGGAUCCAACUGAGGACAUUGCUCCUGAUAGCCCUGCUGAGGGUUAGAUUAGGAUUGACUUGGUAGUAUUAGAUAGGUAGGAUCAGAACAGCGACAUUAGUCAAGUCAUCAAAUUUUGUCUAGGUGAAUGACUUGCUUCCGAUGCACCAUAUCCCUACUUUUUGUUUAAGGGAUUAUUUGUAUGUAUUUUUGCUAACUUAUGUGCCUUACUUUUGGAAAUGUUCCAACUUGUUAAUUGUAUGACUGUUCCACGAAAAUAUAUGUUAAGUGUUUCAUUUUCUUUUCCUCUAUUUUCAUGUCGGUUUUUAAUCACAUAACGAAUCAUAAUAAUUAAAUAUAAAUAAAAUUUUUGCCUAAUUGUCUUACCCUUCAGUAAUAGGCAUAAUUAGACAAUGGAUCGCCAAAUGAUAGGAAGGAGCCGUGGGAGACCCACUAGACAACACCCGGAAGCGGGUGGUGAUAGGGAACCCGAGGUCAAUCGAGACCAAGGGGCAAGAGAGAGUGGCCGGAGAUCAAAUGGUCACCGCAAUUAACCAUAUCACUGAUGUUUUGGAGCGCUUGACUGAACAUCAAGCCUCUGGGCCAGUGCACCGCCAAGAAGGCCCAGCCGAUUCCGAGGAUCGGGCACUGGAGAGGUUUCUGAAGUUUGGACCUCCUAAAUUCUACGGAGGACCCGAACCUGAGAUAGCUGAGGGAUGGUGGGAGAAAAUCUCCGACAUCUUCGCAGCUUUAAACUACACGGAAGAGCGGCAGGUGACUUUUGCCGCAUUCCAGUUUGAAGAAGCUGCUCGCUCCUGGUGGAAUCUGAUUAGGACUAACUGGGACAGGAAUCAUACUCCAAGGACUUGGGCAAACUUCACAAGGAAGUUCAAUGCCAAAUUUCUUCCACCUCUCAUCCAAGAAAAGAGGGAGGAUGACUUCAUAAAAUAUAACCAGGGGGCGAUGAGUGUCGCCGAAUAUGAAGUCCAGUUCACCAAGCUAUCCCGUUUUGCUCCUGAAUUGGUAACCACGGAACAAAGGCGAGUCAGAAGGUUCGUACAGGGUCUGAAUGUGGAAGUACAGGAAGGUUUAGCUGCCGUGAGGAUAGAUACUUUUGCAGAUGCCGUCGAGAAAGCCCAGAGAGUUGAACUGGCUAGGGCUCAAGUGAAAUCUUUUCAGGCCAAGAAAAGAUUUGCUCCUAGCAGUAGUCGGGAGCCGACGUAUGGCAAUGCGUCCACCGGCCAAAGUGGGCCGAGGAACCAUUGGAGUGAAUAGUCCUGGAGCACCACGAGGCGCCCACGCAAGAGGAAACGGGGCCAGGAAUGCGGGGGGACGAAAUAAUGGAACCAGAAUGGGACCGAUUGGAAGGGGACAACCUAGGAAUAUCUCGCAGGGAGGCCGAGCAAUAGUUCCCCAAGUGAAUUAUGCAUUUUGUAAGAAACCUGGCCAUACUAUAGAUGGUUGCUGGAAGAAGCAAGGGAGGUGCUUGAAAUGAGGAAGUAGCGAGCACCAAAUUUCUGGAUGUCCAAAAAUACAGGAAGGGAUUACUUCGAACGCUAGACUAAACACAUCUGGAGGGAGCCGGCCAACAGUUCCUGCCAGGGUGUAUGCUAUAGAUGACCAACCUGUACCUGAUUCCUCGGAAGUCGUGGAAGGUACUCUCCCCAUUUUUCAUCGAUUAGCUAAAGUGUUAAUUGACCCUGGUGCAACUCAUUCAUUCGUAAAUCCAUCAUUUAUGUCUGGAAUAGAUGUGAAACCUGUUAAAUUACCCUUUGAUCUUGAAGUUAGGACACCAAUGGAUAAUAAGAAGAUAAUCGCUAGCCUAGCCUUUAAGAAUUGUGAAUUCUGGAUUGGAGAGCGUAAAAUGCUAGUGGAUCUAAUCAGUCUGGACAUGAAAGGGUACGAUGUUAUCAUAGGAAUGGAUUUCCUAGGCCAGUAUCAUGCUAAGCUUGAUUGCCGAGCGAAAGUGGUGAAAUUCUGUAUACCUGGAGAAGCAACUCUGAGGUUAGAUGUUAAGGGUAGGUUAGCAUCAUCUGCUAUGAUUUCAGGGAUACGGGCAAGGAAAAUGUUGUCAAAAGGAGCUCAAGGUUUCUUAGCCUUCUUGAUUAAUGCUCUCAGUGAUCAAGUGAAGUUAGAAGAUGUACCAGUGGUACGGGAAUUUCCGGAUGUUUUUCCUGAGGAACUAAAGACUCUACCGCCGGAAAGAGAAGUGCAAUUUAGGAUUGACUUGGUGCCUGGAACGGCUCCAAUUUCUAAAACUCCGUACCGAAUGGCUCCUGCCGAACUAAAGGAGUUGAAAAUUCAACUGCAAGACCUCUUGGAGAAAGGUUUUGUGAAGGAGAGUGAUUCACCGUGGGGAGCAACCGUUCUAUUUGUUAAGAAAAAUGACGGAAGCUUGAGGUUAUGUAUCGAUUACCGAUGGUUAAAUGAGAUUACAAUUAAGAAUAAAUACCCUCUACCGUUGAUAGAUAGUUUGUUUGACCAACUGCAAGGGUCAGUAGUUUUCUCUAAGCUGGAUUUGAGGCAAGGGUAUUAUCAGUUAAAGAUUAAGAAGGAGGAUAUACCCAAAACUGCUUUUAGUACGAGAUAUGGACAUUUUGAGUUCGCAGUCAUGCCUUUUGGUUUAACUAAUGCACCAGCGGCAUUCAUGAAUUUAAUGCAGAGAGUCUUUAAGAAAUAUCUGAAUCAGUUUGUAGUGGUUUUCAUCGAUGAUAUCCUGAUAUACUCUAAGACGCGAGAGGAACAUGUUAGGCACUUGGAGAUAGUCUUGCAAAUACUAAGAGAGCAUAGGUUGUAUGCCAAAUUUAGCAAGUGUGAGUUUUGGCUAGAUGAAAUAUCUUUUCUAGGACAUAAAGUUUCUAAGGAGGGAAUUGCCGUGGAUCCGGCAAAAGUUGAAGCCGUUAUGAAUUGGAAGCAGCCAGAAAGGCCAACUGAAGCUAGAAGUUUCUUGGGAUUAGCAGGGUAUUAUAGGCGAUUUAUUAAGGAUUUCUCGAAGAUUGCUGGACCCAUGACCGAGCUAACCAAGAAGGGGAAUAGGUUCAUUUGGACUCCGAAGUGCGAGUCAAGUUUUCAGGAAUUAAAGAAGCGUUUAACAUCCGCUCCUGUUUUGGUGUUACCUGAUGGAGGUGAAGGUUAUGCCGUGUACUCCGAUGCUUCUGGAGAAGGUCUAGGAUGUGUUUUAAUGCAAAAUGGUAAAGUGAUUGCCUACGCUUCCAGGAGACUGAAGCCUCGUGAACAAAACUACCCAACUCAUGACCUAGAGUUAGCAGCAGUGAUUUUCGCCUUAAAGAAAUGGAAACACUACUUGUAUGGCGUGACUUUUGAGGUUUAUACGGACCAUAAGAGUCUUAAGUAUUUGUUCUCCCAGAAGGAAUUAAAUUUGAGACAAAGGCGAUGGGUAGAAUUUCUGGAAGAUUAUGACUGUUCAAUUAACUACCACCCAGGAAAAGCUAAUGUGGUAGCUGACGCUCUAAAUAGAAAGUCCCAAGUAGCAGGGUUAAUGGUUAAGGAGUGGGAUAUGUUAGAGGAAAUAAGUGGUUGGAACCCUCGCUUGGAGAAACUGAAGAUCUUAUUUGGGAAUUUAUCGUUAAAAUCGCCAUUACUAGAGCGUAUUAAGGAGGCCCAGAAAACGGACCCUAUGAUUCAGAAGAAUUUGGAGAAAGUGCAAAAAGGGGAAACCCUAGAUUUUAAAUUAGGGUCUGAAGGUGUAUUGAGGUUCCAAGAUCGAAUUGUGAUUUCGGCAGAUGAGGAGAUAAGAAAAAAAAUUUUGGAAAAAUCACAUCGAUCGAAAUAUACCAUACAUCCAGGUGUGACCAAGAUGUAUCAUGAUGUGAAGGGACUAUACUGGUGGGAAGGUUUGAAAAAGGACGUAGCAGAGUUUGUUUAGAGAUGUUUGAUCUGUCAACAAGUAAAAGCUGAGCAUCAGAAGCCCUCUGGAUUGUUGCAACCGCUAGAAAUCGCUGAAUGGAAAUGGGAACAUAUCACAAUGGAUUUUGUAACGGGAUUGCCUAGAAGUAAAAAAGAAUUCGAUGCAAUUUGGGUAAUAGUUGACCGACUCACUAAAUCUGCACAUUUCCUACCCGUAAGCAUGAACUUUUCUUUGGAAAAACUGGUCAAGUUAUACACAGAAGAGAUCCUAAGAUUACAUGGUAUUCCUGUAAGUAUCGUGUCUGAUCGAGACCCAAGGUUUGUCUCACGUUUUUGGCAGAAAUUUCAGGAGUCUUUGGGGACCAAGUUGAAAUUUAGUACGGCUUACCAUCCCCAAACCGACGGGCAGUCGGAAAGAACAAUUCAAACUUUGGAAGAUAUGCUGAGGUCGUGUAUAUUAGAUUUUGGAGGUAAAUGGAGUAAUUAUAUGACCCUAGUAGAAUUUGCAUAUAACAACAGUUAUCAAGUCUCAAUUCAAAUGGAACCUUAUGAAGCUUUGUAUGGCAGAAGAUGUCGAUCUCCGAUACAUUGGGAUGAAAUAGGAGAAAAGAAGAUUGUAGAUCCAACAGCGAUAUCUUGGAUAGAAGAAACCCAGGAGAAAGUGAAACUUAUUAGGGAAAGGCUUCAAACCGCUCAGAGUAGACAAAAGAGCUACGCCGACACAAGGAGGAAAGAUUUGGAAUUCGAAGUAGGAGACAAGGUCUUCCUAAGAAUUAAAUCCUUGAAGGGCGGAGUAGUGCCUAAGAAAGGUAAGAAGCUAAAGCCAAGGUAUAUCGGACCUUUCGAAAUUUUGAAGCGAGUUGGGAAUGUAGCAUAUCAGUUGAAGUUACCCGCAAGCAUGGCUAAGGUUCACGAUGUAUUUCACGUUUCCAUGCUUAAGAAAUAUUAUUCCGACCCAAGUCAUGUGCUGCCCCUGGAAGGAAUUGAAGUGGAUGAGGCAUUAACAUAUGAAGAAGGACCAGUCAAGAUUUUGGAAAGAGAAGUAAAGGAAUUGAGAAAUAAGAAAAUUCCUCUGGUGAAGAUUUUAUGGAGAAAUCAUGGACUUGAGGAAGCAACUUGGGAAUUAGAAGAGGAAAUGCAGAAAAAGUACCCUGAUUUAUUUCCUUAGAAAGUGUGAAUUUUGAGGACAAAAUUCUUGUAAGGAGGGGAGGAUGUGAGAACCCUGAAAAUGGAUAUAUAAGCUAGUGUAUAUUUCAUUUGCAUUUCUUUUAUUCUUUAAUAAUUUCCAGCAUUACUUUUACUUGUUCGCAAUUAAGUACGUAAAAAUAGGUUUAUGUGAAAAUUGACACCCUUGGAUUAAAUUAUUAUUCCACUUGACUUUAUAUUAUUAAAUCGAUAAAUUUCGAGUUAGACUAACUCUAUUCCUUGAGAAAUAAUAAUUGGAAAUUCUAAGAACUAAUUUAAUCGCUAAAUAAUAUAAGAAUUACUAGGAACCUUAAUAUUCAAGUUUAAUCGAUAAUUAUUCGAUAAAAAUGGUUUAGGUAUAUUAGGGUAUAAUUAGGCGUUUAAAUCACGCUUGGGGAUAAUUUUUAGAAGUAAGUUAGAAUUGAGAAAUUAAGUUGAGGUUGGGGAGCAAAGUGAAAAGACUAAAAUGCCCUUACAAUUUCAUGCAAACCAAACGAAACCUUUGACCGCAAGUUUAAUCACUGCAACUAUCGCCAAUUCUAUACGCAAUCGAUUCUUACACGAAACCUCUGCUCCUUAAACCACGGCACCACAAUACCGUUCUCUCUAUUUCACGUCUAAAACCACAAUUCCAAUUCCUUCUCUACACAAGCAAACCGCAAACCAUUUCCUUCCUUCUUAAUACCGAGAUACUGACUCUUCAUCAUCUCAUUUCCUUUGCACAAUUUCACCGCAGCUGCUACUCUUCCUCUCCACAACCACACCUCACCUCUUCUUCUACCUUAGACCGAGAGCAUCCGAGAGAGAGGGUUACCUGGUGAGCUGCAUCCGAGAGCAAGGGAGAAGGGAUCGCAAGCUGCCAUUUCUUCCUUUCUGUUCUGACCGUAAGUUGAGGGAAAAUACCAGGAACCAUCGCACCUUUUCUCUACUAGCUGUGGCCAAUUCCAACUCCACUCAACCGAGCUCAACCUCACCACAACACCACUCCAGCCGCAACUCAGGAACCAGGACAACCGACUGCACUUGAAACCGAGAGCAAGGAAGGAAAAAUUCUGGAAUUUUCGUGUGCGAGAUUAGCUGUUAUCUGAGGUAAUUUCCGGACCAAUUAGGUUGAAUUCUAGUAGAGGAAGCUAUAUCUGAGCUUGCAUGUAAGGAUUGUGCAGACGGAUGUUGAAAUCAAACCAUUAGAAAAAUUUCUGUUCGGUUAAAAUGUUGCUGCCGAGAAACUGAAGUGAUAUUGCAACUCCAUUUUUGUUUUUCGUGACAAUCUGAACACCUGAGUGUCAUUAGCUGAGUGAAAACUUGAAGAUUAAGACCCUGCAUGUUGAUUUGUGCAUUCGGAUGAUGUGGUUAAAGCAAAGAAAAAUUUCUGUUUUGGUUAAAAAUUUCUGCCGAGGAGCUGGCUUGAAAUUGUAGUUUUAUUUCUGACUUCCUGCGACAAUCUGAGUUUGAUUAGGUGUUUAACUAAUCAAAAACAAGAAGUUUAAGUUAUCUAAGAACUUGCAUGUGGAUGAUAGGCAGCCGGAUGGGAGUUUUAAGAAAAGAAGUUCGGUUAUGUGCAUGUUUUGGAGCUGCCGAGAGCUUAGCUUGUUUAUGGCAGCCUGAUUUGGUUCAAUUUUAUUGUUUGAGCUUACAACCAUAAUUAUAUAGUUAAUCACAAGUUAAUUAGGCUCUGCAUGCGGCUAAUUAGUUAGUUUAAACCAGAAAAAAAAAUGAAAUCAAAGUGUAAUCUGCCAAGCAUGUUCAUCCGAGUCAAGCAGGAAAAUUUUAGAAAAUUUUGAUGUUAAUGGUUGUUGUUUGAACUCGAUUUCUGAACUGGAAAUGUUUAUUUUCUAGCUAAGUAAUUGCAUGAGGGAGUUGAGAGUUUAAAAGCAUGUUUUAACCCAGAAAAUAAAAUGAAAACAGAACAUCUCUUCAUGCAUGUUCAUCCGUGGCUGAUGGACAAAAUUUCUGGAUUUUUUUCUGGAUAAUUUUAGUUGCUGAAUGAAUCUAGUUUUGAAGUGGAAAUUUUUACUAGCUAGCUAAGUGUUAAAUGCUGAAUUUGAGUACCUAACACCAUGUUUAAACCAAGGGAAAAUUUAAUCUAAAGUAUAUUAGUUGCUGGAAAACUUUGGAAGCCGCAAGUUGGAACCAGAGAUUUCAGUUUGUUUUAGAAGUUUAAUUGGUUUCUGAAAAUUUAUUUUAUUUUUUUUCCUUGGAAUAUAAUGGUUUAGAAAUACCGAGGAGUUGUAAGUAUUAAGUUGUGUAAGUUGUUUAGCAAUGAAAUAUUUGAUAAAUUGAAGAUGGAACCAGAAAAUGUUGGUUUAUACAUGCUGGAAUUUCUUUUGUGGUAGCCGAAGGGUGAGUUGGAAUCUUAGCUUGGCUUUUAAAUUUUUUUUCCUUGAAACAUGAUGGAUGGAAAUGCCUGGAAUAUGUUGUUUUGGAGUUUUAUAAGAAAUGUAUGAAUGUCCUGUUUCUUCGUGAAACUGAAAUUGGGUUUGGAUCGAACUUUUAGCUUACUUGUGGUUUAAAUUCUUAAUUGAAUUGUGGUUGGAAGUAAUUGGUGUUGUCAAGGGCUAAUGAUUGAUGAAACCCUUGGCCAUUUGAAUGAUUUUAUAAGUAUUACUGGGUGAUGAAAUUUAAUUGCUAGAAUUUCUUGGAGGCCUUGCUUUUAUUUUUAUUUGUUUAAGCUGAGCUUGCUGAAACCAAGUGCUAAUGAUAGAUGAAGCCUUGGUCAUUCAUUUUAUUUUUAUCAGAAAUGCAUUUGUUGAAAUCUAGGGCUAAUGAUUGACGAAUCCCUAGUGAUUUGCUAUGUGAUUUUGCCAUAUUUGAUCCAUAAUAUGAUUUCAAAACGGAAUCGGAGCUGUGAAAGUCGUUUCUACCUUGCGAACUCGAGUAACUAUGAUCAAAUUAAUCAAAAAUAUUUUCCAUCUAGUAUUAAAUUAUAAAAACUCAAUAUCUAGUGUUUUGCCUAAAACUUUCCAACCCGAUAAUUUCCUUUAGCUCAAACUAGCCUUAUUACCUUGGAAAAAUGAUUUUCCUAGUUUCUAAAACUCUAGCCUUGUUUUACUCCUUUUCUUUUCUCUAAGAAUUGUCCUUGGCUAGUUAACUAUAGGAAAAGUGCCAAAAUACGAGUUUUAAUAAUUUUAGUUAAAAAGCAUAGAAACUUGCUCGGCAAGAAACCUUAUUUUUCUAGGUAAAAUAGUUUUAGUAAUAAUUUUAGCAAAAACCAUAGCUUUAAAGAAAUGUUCAAAAUAACUUCCUAACGUGGAUUUUAAGAGGUUUGUCGACUUAUCUCAAGAAAAUAAUAUUAGUUACCCUUUUAUAAGGAAAAGUAUUUUAAGGAAAACUAUAAUAAACAUUUCUUCUACUUUUGUCAAAUUUUAACCUAAAGGACUCUUGAUUCUUCUAAGGAAAAGUAGACUAGUAGUAUAUUAGAUAUACCUCGACGUCUAUAAGCUUAAAAACUGAGUAGAAUCUUAUAGUUUCAAAAUUUUGAUUUUUAGGAUAUUGCGAGGACGCGGAAUUCGAUUUCCAACUUGAUAUCUGAACUCCACUCUUGGUGAGUGUCCCUGCCUGUUCUAUGUUUACCUGGUUAAAGUGCUUUCUUGACUCAAUACGUGAUAAUUUGCAAAACUAGUUUUUGAUCCAUCAAAAUGAGCAGUGUGUACUUUAUCGCACUAGCCGUUCGAGUGGUGACUUGCGUAAAUCAUUUUCUCGUGAAUCCAUAAAUCUAAAUGUAGUUACGUCGUUGGGUGAAUCCCUCGACGCAUGAAUCUAACUACCAUAAAUCUAAUCUAAAUGUAGUUACGUCGUUGGGUGAAUCCCUCGACGCGUGAAUCUAACUACCAUAAAUCUAAAUGUAGUUACGUCGUUGGGUGAAUCCCUCGACGCGUGAAUCUAACUACAAUAAUGUCGUUGGGUGAAUCCCUCGACCAAUCAUCUACGAGUAUAUCUCGAGUAUACUGCGUCCUUAGUUGGCGAGCGGGCCCGGGACAGGGGUAUGAACGGUGACGGGUUAGGAUUAAAAUGAGUGGAUCUACAUGGAUUAUAAGUAGUGAGAGUUGAUGGAGGGUCAACUACGAUAAAUGGUGAUCAAGCGAGGAAAGUGGCUCCUAAGAGCCCAUGUAUCCUACCUUGUGCUGUUAUCCGCUUUCCUAAUUGUUUAAAUUUGCUAUGUCAUUAACCGCUGUUUGUUAUUACGUGAUUGCAUGUUUUGGGGCACCACUGAGCAUUAACUCACCCCACGUUUAUUGUUUUCCUUAACAGGUUCUGGAAACUGAAAGUUGGAUGCUUACUUUUGUUUUCCUUUUGGAAUGUAUUUGAAUACUAUGACUUAUUCUGUGGGCUAUAAUGUGUUAAUUGGGAUAAUGUACUUUUCUUUUGUAUUGCCACUUGAAGCUGGAAAAUGUGUAAACCCUAAUUCGAUUGCUUGGCUUGUAAGUUUGUAUUAUGAAUUUAUGUGUUUAUCUAUUCGGUUUGGUACGACUUUAUACUUUGGUACGUGGCACGUGGGACGUUUAAGAGUCUCGACUGGUUAAUUUAUCAUUGCUAUCUCUGAAGUUAAUGUGGAUUUAAGGAAGAUCUUAUUCGGGGAAAAUUGUUUUGUAAUAGAUUAGGAUAUUCUUCGAAGGGAUUUGGGUUAGAAUGCUUGCGUGAGUCCUGGCGAGAGUUGGGCAGACGGCCCGCCAACCCUUUGGUUCGCCUCAGGGGGAAAUGGGGUCGCCACAGGCUAUUUCUCAGUCUAAAGAGCACCAAAUUGGAUGAUUCUUGAUGCAUUGGAAAACUAACUCAAAGCGUUACAAUUUCACAUUUUAUACAAGAGUUGGGUCAGCUUCCAUCAUCAAGAAAAUAUCAGGAGAUUUUGGUGCAAAAAUAGAGCAAUGAUGAAAUCUACCUAGAAUGAGCAAACUUGCAAAAGAGCAAUAUGUGGGUACAAUAUGCAAACUCAGGUCAUGUUUUGGAGGUCAUGUAUUCAUCAUUUUCAGUUGCAACUUGCUCUGCAACUUGUGCCCUAUUCGCACAACUUUCCAACACAAUUCCAGCAAGUAAUUUCAGCUGUAUCUGAUCAAGAAAAGUGUGAAAUCUUAGAGAAACAACUUUUGAGAGUUUCAAGAGUAAAAAAUGCCAACUAAAAACAACUCAUUUGGUUCUUAAAUUCUCUAUAAGUAGAGGCCUUUGGAAAACAAUUUCACAACUUCAAAAAGUUAGAGAAACUCCACAAAAAUAUAGUUUUCACUAGUUUUUCUUAGUUCAUUAAUAUAAUAUAUAUAGUAUAGUUCAUCCUUCUUAUAUUUGUAAUUAGAUUUGGAUGAAGAUUUGAAGAGCAAAAAUGGAGAGUUGGAUCUCAUGUGGCAAGGGUGAUUUCUCUCCUAUCACUUUCUGUUUUGUAUUUGAAUUCAUGUUUAGUUAUAAUACAAUUAUGGAUAUUGUUUUUCAUAUUUAGCUAAAGUUUAUGCCAUGAGUUAUGGAUAAACUUUCUAUAUCUUAUUAGUGACGUUUACCUGGUUAUUUGAUGAUAUUAUUUAGAGUAAGUUAUUUAUCACUUUUGCUUAUCUAAUCAUGAUUAACUAACCAUUAAUUGUGAUAAUUUUAAAGUGUUAAGUUUGUAAUGAAAAUUGAAAUUUAACACUAGUUCAAGGAAGUGAUAAACUUAAGGAGUACACUCACAAGAAUAGAGGUGCACCUCUGUGAUUUUAGUGACUUGUUUCAUGUAAUUUUGUAAAAGAAAUGAACUUAUAGUUAAUUUCAUAACCACGAGAGUAGGUGUAACUUAAUUACAAGUAUAGUUGAUUCACUACGAGAGUAGGUUUCACAUACAUUAGAAAAUUAUUCCUUAACUAGCCAAGAUAAUAAUAUUCAAUUAACUGAAAAUUUCAUUUGCAAGAGUAGUAAGAAAUUCCAUGUUGGAUCCUAAUCCAACAUUGGACUUAUAUGUGAAUAAUUAUGUGUUGCAAACUGUCAAUUAAGAUUCAAUCCAAUUAAAAUGAUCAAAUAUAGUUUGGUUUAAUGUAUCUAAUAGGGUAUCGACCUUUAAUGUGUAGAGAUUUAAGAACUCCUAUUUCUAUGAUGGGCUGAAAUAGGGUUCUAAAAGAUAACAGGAAUAUUACCUAUAAAUAGGGUUAUGGUUCCCAGAUCACACGUAUUAUUAUUUUUUGUCGUAUUUUCUAGUAUCACAAUAUAUAGUUCUUUCCUGAUAUCCCAUCGUCAGAAAAGAUAUCAGAGAGAAAUUAAAGGGCUCUCUCAAGGAUUAGCAAAUAUGUGUUAAUCUGGAAGGCCACCCCAAUAUCUUUGGAGGUUCAAAUAUUAGUUUGUAGAUAUGAAUUCAGGUACGCUUUCGCUAUUUUACUGUUAAUUUAUUUCUUAAUAAUCGCCAUAUAGAUUUUGAGUUUAAUAGGUGAUGGUUUUCAUCAAAUGUUAAAUUUAGAUAACCACCCUAACAAGUGGUAUUAGAGCCCAUAUGGUUGAUUAUUAGGAAAUAAUUUUUUUUAGUAAUUCAUAGUUUUAUUACUAUUGGUUCUGUUUUCAUGGCUACUAGCUGCAACUCUGAUGCUAUUAAAUAUAUGAUUAUUAUGUGUUCAAGUCUUGUUGAUUCACUAUUUUGAUCAUAUAUGUGUAUGAUUUUGGUUACUUCUGCCGCACUACAUGAAUUCAGAACAUGAUGCUUUUUGUCUUUGGCCUCUGAUUCAUAUAAAAAAAAAAAGAAAGAAAAAAAGGAAUUCGUGGUAAGAACUAUGAUGCUUUUGUCUUCGGUCAAAACAACUCAAUGCUUUUGAUUUCAUAUGUCUUGAUACGGUUUUCAAUCUAUGUUCACUAAUUGGUGAAUCAAGUGAUGAUUUACGUGGGACCACAAGCUACUUGAUUUCUGGUUUCGAGAAGUGGUUCGUCCUUUUUCCCACUAUUAAUGAUUAAAUUGACAAAGCAUGAUGCAAUCCAGUAGUUGUUUCAUGUGCUCAACCUUAAAUGGCCGAGAGUUUCUCAAGUAAAUUAUUGACAUGGUGAUUUAUGUCUUGAAACAUGGAUCAAAUUUUCUUGUUCUGAUUCAACCGUAAUUUAUAUUCCCUUUUGUCUUGUUUCGGAGUAUAAUCAGAUAUACAUAUAUUUUUAUGUUAAGGAAAUUAGGAUAUCUUUAAUGUAAGUGAAUCCUAAAAAAAUUAAUAAGACAUUUAAACCCAUAAAAUUCAUAUAUUAGGCCCAUUAAAUAUAAAGUUUUAUAAAACAUUUAUGGACUUCAAGGAAAUUUAGGACUUAAGUGAUGAAUUUGGAUCAAAUUAUGGAUAUGGACUUUUUGUCCAAUAAGUCUUGAUCCAAUUGACUGGUUUGAUCAGAUUUGACUGGAUUGACCAGGUUUGACCAUGUUUUGACCAGAGUUGACCAAAGUUGACUUUAAUCAAAAUUUUGUUUAAUUUGUAUAAUUUUAAAUUUGAAUAUUGGUAUGAUUAUAUAUAUAUUUUGGAAUAAAUUAAUUGAAAUAAUAUGCCACCAAAGUGACCUCUAUUAUGAAAAUUAAUUUAUUUUAAAAUAUAAUUAGUUGGGUACCUGUAAUUUUAUGAAUAUUGAUCGGCCCAAAAGAAGGUCAAUAUUUAAUAAAAUUACAUGUGCAUUUGUGGUAAUAAAUACGUGAUAAUUAUUUGAAUUUUACAUGUGAUUUUUAAAUUGACCCAAAGAAAAAUUUAUUUUUUGACAUGUUAUUAUUAUCAGUAUUUGUUAUUACACCAAGAUACCACUUAAAAGUUAAUAUUUUUGUCCAAAAAAAGAAUAUUAAUGAAACAUCGGUAUUUUGAAAUGAGAUUACCUUUAUUUAAAUUUAUUAUUGUUUUGGUUUAUGUGAACUUGUUUUAAUUAUUUUAUGUUUUCUGUUCAGUUGCAAAUGAUCUUACGAAUAUUACUAUCAACAUUAAUAAUAUUUCUAUGUUGAAUGACACAAAUUUCAAGUCCUAGAAAUAAAAUCUCUUGAUUUGGAGUAAUAGAUCUCGACCUUGCGUUAAAGGAUGAUUCUCCCCUGCCUCUUAUAGACCAGAGUACCUCUGAUAAAAAGAGAAAUAAUGAGAGGUGGGAGGGAUUAAAUCGCUUGUGUCUGAUGAUCAUUAAAAAGGCCGUUCCAGAAGCAUUCAGAGGAAUAAUAUCAGAAACGAUAGUAACCGUUAAAGAGUUCCUUCAACAUUGAAAAAGGAUUUGUCAAGAAGGUUAAAAUUAGUGCGCUCUUGAUACGCCUAAUUUCAAUGAAAUUUAGUGGUAAAAGUAAUAUCAGAAAGUACAUUAUAGAAAUGUCUCAUCUUAUUUCAAAAUUAAAUGCACUUAAAUUGACACUCUCUGAAGAGUUACUAGUGCACUUGAUUUUAAUACCUCUUCCUACACAGUUUAGUUAGUUUAAGGUGAGUUACAACUGUCAAAAGAAGAUUUUGUCUCUAAAUGAACUCAUCACACACUGUUUAGAGAAAAAGGAAAUGUUGUAGUAAGAUCAGACAGAAAGUGCCCAUCCGGUGUCAACCACUAAUAAUAAAAGUAAGAGAUUUAAGAGAAAAAUGGAAAAAAGAGCUGCAGGUACAGUGCUACAAAAAAAAUAACAAAAGAAAUCAGAUGAUCAGGGAAAGAAUAGUUGUUUCUUCUGUAGAGUUAAAGGGUAUAAAAAGAAGCAUUACACCAAUUAUCACGCUUGGCGUGUUAAGAAAGGUAUGUUUCUUAAUUUGAUUUGUUCUGAAAUUAAUUUAAUUUCGGUACAUAGAUAUAUAUGGUGGUUAGAUUCUGGUGCAAUAACUCACAUCAGUGUGUCUAUGCAGGGUUGCUUGAAUUGCUGAAAACCUAAUGAUAAUAAAAGAUAUAUCUACGUGUGCGAUAGAAAAACAGUUUAAGUUGAGACAAUUGAAGUUUUUAGAUUAUUGUUAAAGAUCGGAUUUUAUUUGGAUCUUAAUAAGACAUUUGUUGUAUCGUCUCUAUUUUUACUUUGGAUAAAUUUGGUUAUUUUUGUUCAUUUAAAAAUGAAAAAUUUGAAUUGUUUCAUGAUUCAAAAUUGGUUGAUUAUGGUUCUUUAAUGCACUACAAUAAUCUAUAUUUAAUUGAUACGAUUAUCUAAUUUAAUGAAUCUCUGCAUUUGAGUACUAGAGCAGUAAAGAGAAAAUUAAUCAAUGAGAAUUCAGCUGCAUUAUGGCAUAAGAGAUUGGAUAUAUCUCCAAACGGAGAAUAGAAAGAUUUGUGUCAAAUAAAAUUCUGGACUCCUUAAAUUUCACAGAUUUUGAUUAUUGUAUUAACUAUAUAAAGGGAAAACAAACCAAUAAAAGGAGAUUUGAAACCAAUAAAUCCACAAACGUCUUAGAACUUAUAUAUACAGAUAUCUGCGGACUAUUUCCUAUAUCUGCUUGCAAUGGUCAAUAAUAUUUUGUAACGUUCAUAGACGAUUUUUCAAGAUAUGGCUACAUAUAUCUCAUUUCAAAAAAAUCACAGUCACUGAACGUGCUCAAAAAUUUUAAGGCUGAAGUUGAGAAUCAACUCAACAAAAGAAUUAAAAGCGUCAGAUCUAACCGUGGUGGUGAGUAUUAUGGUAGAUAUGACAGUUCAGGUAAAUAACAUCCAAGACCAUUUGCUAAAUACCUAAAGGAAUACGGUAUCGUCCAUAAUAUACUAUGCCGGGUUUUGAUAAGUGACUAAUUUACGUAAUAAUUAUAUGAUAUUUUAUAUUAUUUUUAGUCACUUUAGUUAUGUUAUUGGAAGAAAAUAAAUCAUUUCGAUUAUAAUUGGUGAAAAAUGCUUUUAAAUGAUUAAAUGAGGUUUUUAUCACUUUUUACUUGAAUUUUGUGCAUUUUGACAGUUUUGACAUAUUUUAGUAUUUCAGCUAUAAUAUCAGUUACAGUAAUCGGAUUGAGAUGAUUUUUGAACCAAAUUGAAGAUAAAAGAUAGAUCUACAACUUUGGUGAAUAUAUCAAAAUCCAGUUUGAAGGUUUUCUAAAUCAAAAAACCGAAUUACAGUAGUCAAUUUAUAUUGGUCGAAGCUGAAAUAGAGCAUUGAGCAGUCAAUGGUAUUUCAGUCAUUUCUCAGGCUACAUAAAUCCAAAUGAGGUGAUUCUUCAUGCAUUGGAAAGUUAACUCAAAGGGCUACAAGUUUUAUAUUUUAGUCAAGAGUUAAAUCAGUUUCUAUCAUCAAGAAACGUUCAGUUGAAUUUGACGCAAAAUCAGACCAGAGCUAGAAAUUGAACAGAAAUUGCACAAAAAGUCACUAUAGCAAUCCCGCCGAAAUUUGACCGAAUUUAUGGCUGGAUUUCUGGCCGAAUUGUGGUCAGAGAAGGCUGUUUUUUACGUGAAAAACUCAAUUUUACCUCCAACAAGUCACAUGUAAUACCAGACAUGUAACAAGCACUUUGUAGCUGUAAAAGGGAGGUGUAAGGCUCAUUUCUUGACUACCUUUUAUUUUUAUAUAGCCAAAUCCAUUGCAAGAUUGAAGAGAGACAUACGAGAGAAGCUUGGAAGUGCAGAAAUGUAACUCUUCCAUUUUCUGUGUGUUAGAUUAGUUUAGUAUAGAGUAGUAUAGUUCAUCCACUCUUGUAUAUUGACUAGAUUAGGAUGAAGAUGGAAAUGAAGAAGGAGGAGUUGUAGCUCAAGUGACAUGGGUUACCUCUUCUUCAACUCUUUAUCUUUUGAAUUAGAUUAUUAAGUAUGGUUAACAUGCAAGUUCUGGAUUUUGUGUUUAUUAUAUAUCUUUAAAGUUUAUGCCUUAGAUUUAGUUGAACUUUCUAUGAUUGUUAGUGUUUAUUAUUUAGUUAUUUGAUGUUAUUAUUUGAGCAAGUUAUUUAACACUUUAGCUCUUUAAAUCAUGAUUAAUCUGGUACCGUUAAUUGUGAUUAUCUAAGAUUUUAUUUUUGCAAUAAAAAUUAAAAUUUAACACUGGUUCAAGAAUGCUAAACAUAGGGAGUACACUCACAAGAGUAUAUAUGCACUUGUGUGGUUUUAGUGAUUAAUUUCAUGUAAUUUCAUUGAAAAAUGAACUUGUAACUGAUUUCAUAAUCAUGAGAAUAGAUAUGGAUUAGUUAUGAGUAUAAUUGAUUCACUACGAAAGUAGAAUUCAUAUGCAUAAGGAAAUUACACCAUAAUUAACCUAAAUAGUAGUACUCAAUGAUUCAAAUAUAGCACUUGCAUGAGUAGUUAGGGAUACCACAAUCUAAGGAGAUUUUCAAUUGUUAUUUUGCAUAAGUUCAGUAGGUUUCAUUUCUUAUAAUUCAUUGAUAAUAUAAAUAAUAGAGAAAUUUUGUAGUGCCGGUAAUUGCAAUCUUCCCUGUGGGAUCGACCCUUAAUACUCUAUACUCGCUUACGAUUCGUAUACUUGCGAUAAAUUACGUGUGGGGUAUUUAGGAGUUUAUAAAUGUAAAACUUGAUUGAGAUGAGUUUAAUGUUAUAUGUAUACCCCGUGUACGUCAGGUUCACCCACUAUGAAUGGUGUAACUGAAAGACGAAAUAGAACGCUUAAAAACAUGAUAAGAAGUAUGAUAUGUCAUUCUACCUUACCAGAGUCACUCUAGGGAGAAGCAAUUAAGACUGCAGCAUAUAUCCUUAACAGAAUCCCAAACAAAGUAACUAUCAAAACCCCUUAUGAUUUUUGGACAGGGAAAAAGUCCAGUUUACAGCAUCUACAUGUUUGGGGGUGUCCAGUUGUAUAGGCCAAAUGAAAAGAAAUUGGAUUCAAAAAUAGUUAGUUGUUAUUUUAUUAAAUACUUUGAAAGAUUCAGGAGUUACAAGUUUUAUGAUUCCACGACUAAAUCAAUUUUUAAGAUAGGAAAUGUCCGAUUCUUUGAGGAUGUCGAGUUUGGGGAAGAAAAUACAGUAAUGGAUAUUGUCUUUAAAAAGGAAUACAUUAAUACUCCCACUGGUGUCAUUGAUCUUGUUCAAGAUCCUAUUUUUGAAUUUGAUCAUGACAUGAUAAAUUUAAAUAAUGUCAAAAAAUAAACUGUUAUAGAAGAACAAACUCUUCUUCCCCAAAAACUAGUGCCAUUAAGAAGAUCCACUAGAAAAAAGAGAAGUGCAGUGCGAGAUGAUUACAUUAUUUUUCUCCAAGAACAUGAGGAUGAUUCUGGAUUGAUGGAAGAUAAUCAAUCAACUUCUGUUAGGCCAUUGAAAGUUCAAAUUCUCAAAAGUGAAUCGAUAUCAUGAAUGAGGAGAUUAAAUCCAUGAAGGACAAUAACGUUUGAGAUCUUGUCCUAUUGCCAAAAGGAGCAAAUCCAUUAGUUAUAAAUGGACAUUUAAAAUCAAAAGAGAUUCGAAAGGCAAUGUGGAAAGAUACAAAAGCUUGUUUUGUCGGCAAGAGAUUUACACAAAAAGAAGGUAUCGACUAUAAAGAAACCUUCUCUCCAGUCUCUUCAAAGGACUCUUUUAGAAUUAUCAUGACAUUAAUGGAGCAUUUCAAUCUUGAGUUACAUUGGAUGGAUGUAAAUACAGCUUAUCUCAAUGGUAACAUUGAUGAAACGAUUUAUAGGUGCAACCAGAAAACUUUGUAUCAGGAGAUCCAAAAAAUAUGAUUUGUAAAUUUAAAAAAUCCAACUAUGGGUUCAAACAAGCGUCUUGACAAUGGUAUUUCAAGUUUCAUCAAGUGAUAAUCUCAUUUGAUUUUGAAAUGAAUUUAGUAGAUGAUUGUAUAUACCAUAAAUCCUGUGGGAACAAGUAUAUUUUUCUGAUAUUGUACGUUAACGACAUUUUGCUUGUCAGCAAUGAUAUGGGUCUAUUGCAUGAAACUAAAAAAAUUCUAACUAAGAAUUUUGAGUUGAAAAAUCUUGGUGAUGCAUCUUUUGUGUUAGACAUAUAGAUACAUCGGGAUCGCUCACGGGAUAUUUUAGAACUAUGACAAAAGGACUAUAUCGAAAAGAUUCUUAAAAGAUAUGGUAUGCAAAAUUGUAAAUCAGGUGACACUCUUGUGAUUAAAGGAGAUAAAUUUAGUCUUGAACAGUGUCCUAUGAAUGCUUUUGAGGAAAAAGAGAUGCAAAAGAUUUCUUAUGUGUCAGCAAUAGGGAGUCUAAUGUAUGCUCAAGUAUAUACGCGUCCGAAUAUUGCGUACAUUAUUGGAAUGUUGAGUAGAUAUUUAAGCAAUUCUAAAUUAGAUCAUUGGAAAACAACUAAAUAAGUCUUACGGUAUUUACAAAAAAUAAAAUAUUACAUGCUCACGUAUUGAAAGUCAAAUGAGUUAGAGAUUAUUGGGUAUACUGAUUCUGAUUAUGCUGGAUGCCAAGAUAUUAUGAAGUCAGCGUCAGGCUAUAUUUAUUUGUUGGUUGGGGGUGUCAUAUCCUGAAAGAGUGCUAAACAGUCCUUUAUAACAUCUUUUACUAUGAUUGCAGAAUUUAUAGCUUUUUAUUAUGUGUCCAACCAUGGAAUUUGACAGCGAAACUUCGUCAUAGGAUUACGUAUAGUGAAUAGUAUUAAAAAACCACUCAAAAUAUUUGUAACAAUAAAUCAGCAGUCCCAUAUUCCAAUAAUAGCAGGAGCUUGACGAAAUCUAAACAUAUAAAUAUCAAAUUCCUGACUAUUAAAGAAUAAGUACAGAGUGAACAGUCAUCGAUAGAGCAUAUCGAGAUAGACUCCAUAGUUGCGGAUCCGCUUAUUAAGGGAUUGUCAUCCAAAAUAUUUCAUGAGCAUACUGCUCGUAUGGUUGUCAUUUUAUUAAAUGAUAUACAAUUUUAGUGGGAGUUUAUUAUUUUAAAUGCUCAUAUGAUAUUUUUCGAUUGUUAAUGAUUUAAGGAUAUUUGAUGAAUAAAUAAAGUUUGGAUUUAUUUAUACCCUGAUUUUGAUAUGAUUUGAUCUCGUGAAAAUUUAAGAUAGACUUGUUGGAAAUAGACAUGUUUUGAUCACAUUACAUGAAAUUUUAAUGCUACACAUCUACAUCAUGAUUCAUGUCAUUCAAUUAUAUCAAUAUAUGUGACCAUUGAUGGGUCAAGUUACGAAAUUGUAACAAAUGCCACUUUGAUCCUAUGUUGGUAUGAUUGAUAGACCGAAUUGGUUAUAGAUACAUUAUGAUAAACUUAGGGAAUACACUCACGAGAGUAGAGGUGCACUUUUGUGAUUUUAGUGACUUGUUUCAUGUAGUUUUUUUUUUUUAAAAAUGAACUCAUAGUUAAUUUCAUAACCACGAGAGUAGGUGUAACUUAGUUACAAGUAGGGGUGGGCAAAAAUACCCGCUGACCCGAAAAUCCGAGAGAUCCGACCCGAUCCGCACCGAAAAAUAGGAUAUCCAAUCCGAUUUCUCUUAGCGGAUCAGAUAGGGUCGGGUAUCCGGAACAUUCGGAUACGGGUACGGAUCGUAAAAGCCAAAACCCGCGGGUACCCGACCCGGGGGUAUAAUAUAUAAAUAUUAAAAAAUAUAGGGGCAAUUUUAUAAUUUUUUAAGUUAUUAACCCUAGGUUCCUAACCUUCAGAUUUCAUCCUCUGCUUCAGCCGUCGACACUCUUCACUCUUCAAUGGCCGAUGCUCUUGUCUCUCAAACCUAGGGCCGAAAACUACCGUUAAAACUCCUCAAACUGCCUGAUUGAAUCGAAUCCCUUUCUCUUCAGCCCUGUUUCUCCGUUGUCGUCCUUUUCUACCUUCGACUUCGAGUAAAGGGACGCUGCCAAAAGGUCGCCUGACACCGCCGACGCCGGAGCGGGUGGUUUAGCUAUCAAGGUUUUUCAAUAACUAUUUUCUUUUAAGUUCAAUUCUUUCUGCAAAACUAUUCUGCAUCUAUGUGUAUUGUGUACGUCUAUGCAUUUGUCGAAUUGGCUACAUGAAUUCUGAUCUUUCGUCCAAAUCGAAACUGGGUUGUACAAUUAAGAUUAGGAAUUGCUGGACCCAUACAGAAAAAAGAAAAAAAACCAAAAUGGGGGUCGGCAAUCGGCAUAAAUGGUACAGGUACGGAAACAAAUUCUGGCCAUAAUUUUCCAUGGAGAUACUCUCAUGGCUUUGACAUUUGAGGUCUUAGACCAACUCUCAUAGGCUAGUUGUUCAUUUGCAGAGAGUUUUACUUUACAUGGCUUUUUCUGUACUUUUGGUGGACUGUUGCACGCAUAUGCGUAAGGCUUAGGUUAUGUUUUGAAAUUCAAGAACGGUGGGAGAAAUUGUGCCUAAGGUUCUGAAAAAUAAGAACAUACUGCACUUUGUCCUGAGUUUCUAAUUAAGAAAAAAUAUUCAAUUAAAUGCUUCACAAGUGUGUCCAUGUACCGUAAUCAGCUCUAAUGUCUACAAGACGAGUUCAAACCAAAAAUUCAGAUUAAACCAAAAACUUUAAGUUGUAAAUUACACAGUUAUCCAACUAAGGUUUAAAGAGAUAUGAUGUACCAUAAAAUUUACUGAUUCUAAUUCUCAAGAAUAUUAUUGAUUCUUGCAUAUAGAUACUAAGACAUGAACAAACACUGGAAACUCUACAUCGUUCAUUAUUUUCCUCCAGUGCAAUGUAGCUGCAUAAUUACUUUAGCUUUUUUGUCUAACAUAAUUCAAUUCAAUGUGCAAAUUCUAAGAUAAUACCUCUAUACCUGCUGAAGUUGUAAUAGUGUAAAACUCUUUUUUUUUUUUGAGAUUAUUGGUUUGCCUUUUCUUUUCAUACAUUGGACAUUUUUCCCCCUUUGGGUUUAGCUACACUUUGCACUCAAUAUUUAAAUUAGCAGGCCAAGCAACUGAGGAUUGUGAGCAAUUUUUUGUUAUUGUUCUUAAGAUUAUUCCAACUGCCCUUUUCUUUCUAAAAUGAAUCUGCACAUGGUUUUAUAGGAGUUUCUGAGCUAUGUAUUAGCUGCGCAUAUGGUAGAGAAGUGGGAUUUUCAUUUGAUUUGUUUUUUGAAUUUUUCAGAUGUCAAGUACAGGGGAUAAUACAGCUACUACAGCUGCAAGCCCAAAUGUUGAUCAUUCAUCAUCAAUGGAUCCAAAAAUUGUUGUUGGAGCUUCUGAAACUGAGACAAGUCAAGUACCACCUCCUCUAACAUUCGAGACAAAAGUGUCUACCAAGAGCAGUAGGUCUUGGGUUUGGGAGCAUUAUGCAGUUGUUACAGGUACGGAAACAAAAGACAAGAAAGCUGCUUGUAACUAUUGUCACCAAUUGAUUGCCUGUGCAAGCAAAAAUGGUACUACUUCUUUGAGUAAUCACCUUCAUAGGUGUAAAAAAUAUCCGUAUAAUAAUACGGAUAAAAGGCAAAAGACGCUGGAGUUUAAAGCAAAAGAGGGAGGGGGAAAAGCAUUAACAACCCAUAUGUUUGAUCAAGAAUCAUGUAGGAGAAUGUUGGCUAGGAUGGUGAUUAUAGAUGAACUACCUUUUAAAUUUGUGGAAAGGGAGGGAUUUCUGGAUUUUUGUCAGUUUAUGCAGCCACGGUUUGAAAUGCCAUCACGUAGAACUUUAACUAGAGACUGCCAUAAGCUUUUUUCAGAUGAGAAGAAAAGUUUGAAGGCAUACUUUGAAACUUUAUCCUCACGAAUUUGUCUCACCACUGAUGCUUGGACAUCCAUUCAAAAUCUGAAUUAUUUGUGUUUGACAGCUCACUUUAUUGAUGAUAAAUGGAAAUUGCACAAAAAGAUUUUAAAUUUCUGUCCUAUUACAAGUCAUGCGGGUGAAGUUAUUGGUCGGACAGUAGAAAAAUGCUUGCUUGAUUGGAAAAUUAGUAAAGUUUUGACUGUUACGGUAGACAAUGCUAGCUCAAAUGACACUUGUUUGCAAUAUUUGAGAAGAAGGCUUAUUAAUUGGAAAGGUACUGUCUUAAAUGGAGAAUACUUGCAUAUGAGAUGUGCUGCCCAUGUUUUGAAUUUGACGGUUAGGGAGGGAUUGAAAGACUUGGAAGACUCUAUUGUUAGAAUUCGAUCAGCUGUGAGAUAUGUUAGGUCUUCACUUGCUAGAGCUCAAAGAUUCAAAUCUUGCAUAGAAAAAGAAAGAAUCGAAAGUAAAAGUCUUGUAUGCCUUGAUGUUGAAACUAGGUGGAACUCCACAUUUUUAAUGUUAGAGGCUGCUCUAAAAUUUCAAAAGGCAUUUGAGUUGCUAGAAACUGUGGAUAGCAAAUAUGUCGAAGAGUUAACUCCACAAAGUGAGAAUGAUACUCGUAGGAGUUCUAAGGUGAGGGGUGUGCCAACUGAAAUGGAUUGGGAGUAUGCCAAAGAUUUAUUGCCUUUUCUUCAAAUUUUUUAUGAUUCUACUGUGAAAAUGUCAGGCUCACGUUAUGUGACAGGAAAUGUAUAUAUGAAUGAAAUUUUUGGCAUUAGUGGUCUUCUUAAUUCAUUUCAAGAAAGUGAUGACUUUGGUUUGUCAACUAUGGCUGGGAAUAUGAAGAAAAAAUAUGAUAAAUAUUGGGGUAAUGUGGAAAGGAUUAACAUAUUGAUUCUGAUUGCUGUUGUUCUUGAUCCCCGGCAUAAACUAAGUUAUGUUCAAUGGGCAAUUGAUGAGGCAUAUGAUCCUAAGAAUGCUGAAAUGUUAAAAGUUAAGGUGGAAAAAGUGUUACAUUCCCUAUUUGACUUUUAUUCUGCUGAAAAAUCACCUCAUAAGGAAGUAAUAAGUCAAAAUCAGUUGAGGGAAAUGGAUAAAAUGGAUGUUGAUGCAAUUACAGUUAAAGGGGCAUCAGAUUACAUGCAUGCAAAGUAUUCUCAAAAGGCUGAUACAUUGGAUAGCACUCACAAUAAAACGGAAUUGGACAUCUAUUUGAUGGAAAUGAAGGAAGAUUUUCACAGUCCAAACUUUCACAUAUUGGAUUGGUGGAGAGAUAAUGCUCAUAGGUUCCAAAUUCUUGCUGCGAUUGCUAGAGAUGUAUUAGCUAUUCCGGUGUCUACUGUUGCCUCCGAGUCUGCUUUUAGUACGGGAGGGCGUGUGUUGGAUUCUUUUCGAAGCUCUUUAACUCCAAGAAUGGUGGAGGCUAUAAUUUGUGGACAAGAUUGGCUUCGCAAGGGUAUUCAACCAAUUGAUUUGGAAGAAAGUAUAACUGAACUUGAAGAAAUGGAAUCGGGUAAUACUUUUCAUAUCUUGUCAAUUGUUAUCAUUGCAUUGCAAAUUUUCUUAUUCAUUUGAGUUUCAACUUGUGCUAAUAUAUUUCUUGGUUGCUUUUAUUUUUGGAAUUUUUUUUUUCAGGUUUGACAAUGGAGCAUUCUAUUAUUAAUAUUGAAGAUUGAUGAUUCUUGAAGAUUGUGCUCCUUCAUGUGUUGUAGAAGGUUGAGAUUGUUGAAACAUUUGAGGUUGUUGAAACUGUCAUGGCAUGGCUAGGGGAGGAAAAUGAAGACAGCUUCUUGAUUUAUGCCUAGUCAAUGCAUUAUGCCAUGUUUGCUGGAUUUGAGAAUGUCUAUAUAGUGUACAUUUUUCUCAUUUAUAUGCCCUUUUUGGAAGUUAUGUAUCAGAGUAGAUAUUUCUAACUUUAUGAUUUAGUGUGGAACUACUGCUACUGAUCAUUUUUUAGAUUUGAAUAUGCUUUGUCUUUGUCUAGUUUGAAUUUGAAUGAUGUUGUUGCCUUUUUUUUUUGUUGAAUGAUGCUAUCGUCCAGCAGGUUCAUCUUAUGUCUUAUGAGUUUUAGAGAAAAAUUGCAUUCUUUAAAUAGGGGCGGGUACCCUAUGACCCGCCCCUAUUUUUCGGGUAUCCGAGGAUCGGGUACCCGAGGAAGUUCGGAGCGGAUUAGGGUCAAAAAAAUAGUGACCCGAUAUGUUAGGGUCGGGUCAGCCAAUUAGAGUUCGGGGCGGGUACCCGACCCGUGCCCACCCCUAGUUACAAGUAUAGUUGAUUCACUACGAGAGUAGGUUUCACAUACAUUAGGAAAUUACGCCUUAACUAACUAAGAUAAUAAUAUUCAAUUAACUGAUAAUUUCAUUUGCAAGAGUAGUAAGGAAUUCCAUAUUGGAUCCUUAAUCCAACAUUAGAUUUAUAUGUGAAUAAUUAUGUAUUGCAAACUAUUAAUUAAGGUUAAACCCAAUUAAAAUGAUCAAAUAUAGUUUGGAAUUAAUGUAUCUAAUAGGAUGUGGGCCUUUAAUGUGAAAAAACUUAAAGGCUCCUAUUUCUAUGAUGGGUUGAAAUAGAGUUCCAAAGGCUAACAGGAAUGUUACCUAUAAAUAGCGUUAUGGUCCCAAGUCACACGUAUUAUUAUUUUUUAUCGUAUUUUAUAGUACCACAAUAUAUAGUUCUUUCCUGAUAUCCCAUCAUUAGGAAAAUAUCAAAGAGAAACUAAAGAAUUCUCUCAAAAAUUGGCAAAUACGUGUUGACGUGGAAAACCAUCCUAAUAUCUUUGGAGAUUCAAAUAUCAGUUUGUCGAUAUGAAUCCAGAUACGCUUCCGCUAUUUUACUGUUAAUUUAUUUCUUAAUAAUCGCCAUAUAAAUUUUGGAUUUAAUAGGUGAUGGUUUUCACCAAAGAUUAAAUUUAGAUAGCCACCUUAACAUCCAUACUUUUAGGAGUUUUCUAUUGUUAUUUUUAGUACUUUUGUUCCAUGUUUGUAGCAUAGAUUUAAUCUUUUACAUUUGUGAUAGUCUAAAUAAUAAAAAAGUUCGAAAAACAUCGAUAACUAACAAUCUUCUUUGUGAGUUCAACCCUUAAUACUCUAUACUCAAUUUCGACUCGUAUAUUUGCGAAAAAAAUUAUGUGUGGGAUAUUUAGAACUUUAUAAAUGUAAAAUUUGAUAGUGAAUGUGUUAAUUGUUGUGUGUACACCUUGCACUCAUCACUUUCCUCUAUUGUUGAUGCUUUGAAAGCGUGGAGGAAUGGUUGCUGAGCUUGCUUCUCUCAAGCAUUAAUUGUCCAAUUGAUCUAUCCUUCUUAUUACCUAAAAAUGCUUGCAAACACUCAAAAGCAAAUGUAGUCAACAAGAAUAGCUGAAUCGACACAUACAUAAUUUAAACUCGAAAACAAUACACAAUAUCUCACAAGACCCAUAAGACUCAACACACACACACACACACACACACACACACACACACACACAAAAGAAACUAGACUCAACAAAUUCACAAGAAAAAUGAGUAAAAUAUCUAAACUAAUAAAGUCAUUCUUCGUACCGAUAUUGUUACAAAUCUUCCCCAACAAUGGCACUGAUAACUUAAGUUAGGGGUAUGCAUAUAAUAAUAAACUCAAUCCAGAGUCAAAUUUUAUGUUUUAUAAAUUUUCAAAUACUCAACACGCUAUUUUUCACAAGUAUACGAGUCAUGAGCAAGUAUAGAGUAUUAAGAGUCAAACCUAUAGGGAAGAUGGUCUAAUGCUAACACUACUAAAACUUCUCUAUUAUCUAGAAUCUCGAAAAAUUAAGAAAAAUAAUCUAAGCUGCAAAAAGGUAGAGAAAUUGAAAUGAAAACUCUCCAAGUUUUGGAAUCUCUAUUUACUCAUGCUAGUACAACUCCCCAAUUAAAUGAAUACCAAAACCUUCACUAAGUAAUGAUGUAAUUUCCUAAUGUUCAUAAUAUCUACUUUCAUUAGUGUACCAACUAUACUUAUAGUUAAUUUAUACCUACUUUCAUGAUUAUGAAAUCAACCAUAAGUUCAUUUACUCUUAUACAAUAAUAUGGAACAAAGGCACAAAAGUGUAUCUCUACUUUCAUGAAUGUACAAUCUAGGUUUAACAUUUUCAUGAACUGGUGUCAAAUUUCAAUUCUUAUUAGAAAUCUAACACAUUGAAAUGAUCAUAAUCAAUGGCCAAUUAAUCAUAAUUAUAAAAAAAAAGUUCCAAAUAACUCAAUCAAGAUAAUAGCAUCAAUUAGCCAAACCAUCAAUACAUAGCAUUCAUGGAUGAUUCAACCAAAACCCAAGGCAUAAAUUUUAAAGUAACAUCACAAACAUAAGAUCCAAUCCUUGUAUUAACAGAACUUAGAAGUCAAUACAAAGAUCAAGAGGUGGAAAGAAGAAAACCCUUAUCAAUAGAGUCUUUGAGCGUCUCUUUCUUCAUCUCCUUUGGUCUUCUUGUUAAACUAAUGUGAGAAUAGAUAAACAAAAACUAGAAUAUACUAUACUAUUGUACACUAAAACAAGAAGAAAUGAAGAGAACUACAUUUGAUAAGGGAUUGUGUCUUGCCUCUAAGAGCAAGACACAACCCUUUGGCUGUUCUUCUUUUCUCUCAAACUAACUAAAACUAAAGCUUCUUAAAACUAGAAGAACUAAGUACUAUAUAUUCUUAGUCUUGCUUUUUGGAGCCAAAAGGUCAAUAAGAGAAGAUUCUAGAACCCCUCAAUACAACUGCACUUCAUCCCUUUGUGUCCCAUCAAGAAUGGAGAAGAAAUAAAAAGCCAAGCAAGUUGGCAAGUUGUAGCUGACAAGAAAUGCUCGGGGUUUUCUUAGAAACCAUGCAGGAUUUGUGUAGGAUCCCUCGAGCAAUUCUAUAGCAAUUUGUCUUCCCCUAUUUUUGUUGCUUGAAUUGAAUUUUCUACCUACAAUCCCUUGCAGAAACCACCAAAACCAUUGACGGGUUUCUCUUCCUCAGUUUUUUUAUGACUUUUCAUUCUUCAUCUUUUCAAGCACUUGAGUUGUACCACUUCUUUUAACCAUUGUUGUGAUUUCUCAAACCUCUAAUCAUUACCUUGUUAGUCCACCAUUUCACUCCCAAUUCAGGUUGGUCAUUUUACCCUACAAAAAUAAAGAGAUUUUGUGAGUAAAAUAACUCAUCACAACUAUUUCAUCUAUCAAUUCAAGGUGCAAAUUGGGAGCUAAAAUGAGCAACUUAUACCAUUUAACUUCACAAAUUGACACAAAGCAAUUUAAAGUGCCUAGGAAAAUAUCCGUAACUUAAACUCUUAUUGGCGUAAAUAAAUAUAUAAGGGAACACAAUUAUUCCUUAUUUUGUUGGUGUAAAAUUCCUUUUCUUUUCAAAAAUAGACUAUUUGAACUACAGAUUUAAUAGAGAACAAGAAGAAUUUUGGUGCAAAAAGUAAUCAAAUUUUUAAUUAUUUAUUUUAUUUGAAAGUUUUUGUGUAAAUUCUACUGGGAACGCAAGCACACAAAGAAAUAAGAAAUCUUGAUAUGACCAAUCAUUUAGGUUAUAAGUAUGUUCUAAGUAUGGAUUAAUAUGUCAACCAUCAAUCUCUAAUAGGUUACUAAUAAGUUAAUCAUCUUGACCCAUCGAUUGACCCAAUAUGACCCACAUAUAUGUCAUAAUCUUGUUGAGCUAAUUGUGAUACAAAUAUUUUUGUGUCAUGUUUCGAUCAGGUUUUCCCCGUAUCAUGUGAUAACUGACUAUCAUAUGCUAUGGAAGACAUUUGAUGUUACUUUUAGUCACUUUUGCAAUGUUAUAAGAAGAAAAUGGUCCAUUUUUGCUAGAAUUGAUUCUAAAUGCUACUUAGUACUUAAAUAAGAUUUUUGCCCCUAUUACUCGCAAGUUUUUGGUUGUUUUGUAGGAGUUGGAAUGGACUUCAUUUUAAACAAGAAAUAAGUUUGUAUUAUUUUAAUUGAAAUCUUAUAGUUUGUGAGGAUGGUAAGUUUCAAAGGUGGUUGAGACACAAAAAUAAGAAAAUGAUAAAACUUAUCGAAAGAGAAAGUCGGUUCAUAUCUGUUCCAAGAAUCCUUGCAAGGAUUGCUAGAGGGAUUCAAUGCAAAAUUUUUUGGCGAAAUCCAAGAAUCUUGCUAAAAUUCUAGAGCAAUUGCAAGAGAGAUUCUAGUCAAAUAUUGUGGUUACAACUUGCACAACUUGAUUUUAACUCUAUUUUUUAUAAGCAUGUAUUUUUUGUAUUUUAAGUGUGUUUUAUUCAUUUGUAUUGCUAAUUAACUAGAUUUCUAGUGAAUUAUGUAUUUUGUGGUUCAAAGUGUGAAAAAUUGGAUUUCAAUGUGUUCAAGUGGCGAAUACCUCAUGUUUUUGUAGAUUUUAAUGAUUCAAUCAUCAAAUGAAAUGAAUUGAGAAGAUAUUUUGAUGAUUGUUGAUUAUUUGAAGUGAUUUACAGAGAAUAUGAAGUGUAAAAUGUUCAAAAGAUGAAAUGCAAUCAAGUAUAAAAGAAGAAAUGUUUGAUAGCUUUGACACCUUUUGAUAUUUUGGCUAUCUCUUGAGCAAAAAGUAUCAAAUUGAGAUGAUUCUUGAGGCAUUUUGUAGCUAAGACAUGAUUUAAAAUUUUGAUGAAGUCAUCAAAAUCUAGUUCAUGCAAUUUUUUGGUCAAAAAGUCAAAAUACAGUCAAACAAAUUUGUUGUCAAAAGGUGAAAUAAGAGAUUGACCAUUCAAGGAUAUUUUGGUCAUUUAUUAGUAUACAUAGCUCCAAAUUAGAUGAUUCUUAAUUCAUUGGAAAGCUAACUCAAAGAGCUAGUUCAACCUCUAUCAUCGAGAAAAUAUCACUUUAAGUUGGUGCAAAAAUAGGACAAUGUUGAAGACUGGUCAAAAAAGUGCAAACUUGCAGGGGAGAACAAUACGUGACCUUCACCCAUGUUUUGAGAGCGUGUAUUCAUAUUUUGGCUGCUUUAUAGUUGUAACCAAUUGUAAUUCAACUUCAACUCUUUCCUACUACUUUUGGACUAAUUUUCUGAACAAAUUUGUACUGAAAAGUGCAAAAAGCAUCUUGGAAAUUUGGAGGAAUAACUUUUGGGAAUCUCAAGACACAAUUUGCACAACUUGAAACAUGAUUGCUUGGAGCUUUAAUUCUCUAUAAAUAGGGUCUUUGUUCAGUCUGUUUGAUAACUUUGGGAGACUAAAGACACUACCAAAGCGUAGUUUUCUCUAAUUUUUCUUAGUUCAUUAGUAUAAUAUAGUUAGUGUAGUUUAUCCAUCUUGUACUUGUAAUUAGAUUUGGAUGAAGAAUUAAGGAGUAAGAUGAAGAGUUUGGAACUCAUGUGAUAAAGGUGACUUCUCUCCUAUCACUUUCUCUUUUGUAUUUAAGUUCAUAUUUAGUUAUAAUACAAGUAUGGCCUUUCCUUUCAUUCUCUUCAUGUUUUGCUAAAAUUUAUGCCUAGAAUUUUGGAUGAACUUUCUAUAUCUUGUGAGUGAUGUUUAAUUGGUUAUUUGAUGAUAUUAUUUUGAGUAAGUUAUUUAGUACUUUUGCUUAUCUAAUCAUGAUUAACUGGUCAUUGAUUGUGAUAAUCUUAAGGUGUUAAGUGUAUAAUAAAAAUUGGGAUUUGACAUUAGUUCAAGAAAGUACUAAAUCUAGGGAGUACACUUAUGAAAGUAGAGGUGUACCUUUGUGGUUUUAGUGGUAUGUUCCAUGUAAUUUCAUAGAAGAAAUAACAUUGUAACUAAUUUUAUAACCACGAUAAUAAGUAUGGUUUAACUACAAAGUAUAGUUCAUUCACUACGAGAAUAAGUUUCGCAUAUAUUAGGAAAUUACAUUAUAUCUAGCCAAGAUAAUAACCUCUUGCAUUUAUAAUAGUCUAAAUAAUAAAAGAGUUCGAAAAUCAUCAGUAAUUGGCGAUAUUUUCUGUGGGAUUGAUACCUAAUAUCCCUAUACUCGAUAAACGAUCUGUAUGCUUGUAGAAAACAGGAUAUUUAGGUUUUAUUAAAAUUUGGUGCAUUGUAGAACCUCUUCAAUUUCACACCAUUUGAGGGACAUUUUAUAAAAGAUUUGUAGCUAUAAAGUGGAGAUUUUAGCAAUAAUUAUUGUCCUUAUUUCUUCAAUAAUUAUGUGCUUUAGCUUUGAAGCCACAAAAAUUGACAUUUGAAAUCAAUGUUCACACUUAAGACAAAAGGAGUGAUGAACAUUUCUCUAUGGAUAGGAGCUUGUGUUUUCUUAUUUAAGAAGAGAUUGGAGAAUGAAAAAACACACUACACAAAUGUAACUCUUAUAUUUUCUUAACUUUACAUUAGUAAGGGUAUAGUUUAGAUAGUAUAGUGUGUCAUCAACUGUAAUAUAAUGGUUCGACUAGAAUGAAGAUGGAGAUGAAGGAUGAGGGGAUGAAACUCAUGUGAUAAAAAUUCUCUCUUCUCCAACUUUUUAUCUAUUGUAUUAGAUUCUUAUGUGUAGUUAAUAUGUAAGUUUUGGAUUUUAUGUUUAUUAUGUCUUUCUAAAAUUUAUUUUUUGGAUUUUGGUUGUACCUUCUAUGAUUGUAUUAUAUUGAUUUCUUUGUUAUUUGGUACUAUUAUUUGGAACAAGUUAUUUAGCAUUUUUGUGUAUCCAAUUAUUAUUAACUGCCCAUUAAUUAUGAUAAUUUUAAGGUGUUAGAUUUAUAAUGAGAAUUAGAAUUUAAUACUAGUUCAAGAAAUUGCUAAAUCUAAGGAGUACACUUGCAAGAGCAGAGGUACUCCUUCGUGGCAUUUGUGACUUUGUUCCAUGUAAUUUCAUAGAGGUAAUAAACUUGUAGCUAAUUUCAUAACUGCAAGAGUAGGUAUGGACUAGUUAUAGAUAUAGUUGAUUCAUUACAAGAGUAGGUUUUAGAAAUAUAAGGAACUACGCCAAAACUAGCCGAGGUAGUAGUGCUCCAUAAUCCAAAAAUUGCACUUGCAUGAGUAGUUUGGGAUACCAUGAUCUAGGGAGCUUUCAUUUGCUAUAUAUAUAUAUAUAUAUAUAUAUAUACAUAUAUAUAUAUUUUUACAAAUUUUAGCUUAGUUUUAUUUCCUUUAAUUUGUUGAUUAUCUAAAUAAUAGAGAAGUUUUAGUAGUGCCGAUAGUUGUCCAUGUUCCCUGUGGGUUUUACUUUUAAUACCCAAUACUCAAUCACAACCUGUAUAUUUGCGAAAAAUUGCGUGUGAGGCGUUUAGGAAUGUAUAAAUGUAAAACUUGACUAUGGAUUGAACUUAAUUUUAUAUGUAAGCCCUGCACUCGUCAAGUUUAUGGUGCUAUUAUCGAGGAAGAUUUGUGACAAUAUCUGUGUGAAGAACAACUUUAUUAGUUUAGAUAUUUUAUUUGUUUUCUUGUGUUUGUUGUGUCUACUUCUCUUGUAAGUUUGCAGCGUCUUUGUUUGUGUGUUUUCCUAUGUGUUGAAUCACAUAUUCUUCUUGACUAAACUUAUUUUUGAGUUUCUUUGAAGGCAUGUCUAGAUGUUCAAGGAGAGUAGUAAACAUGAGUGGACAACACAUGAGAAAUGGAAGUUCGGCUAUAGACUCUUAUCAUGUGUGAAGCUCCAUGAAUAGAGGUAACAGAGAAAGUAUCACGAAUAUGUCUUUUGAAGAUAGGUUAAGGAGUUUAAAGCCUAAAUUUGAUUAUAUAAUGUUAAAAACUCAAUUGGAUACCAUUAUGCAUAUACUUGAACAAAAGAAGAAUGUCAAUGCUUUUAAUUCUAAUCAUGUAAUUUAUAACUUGUGCAAAAGUUAUCAUACUAUUUAUACUUGUAUGUAAGUACAAAAUAUAAAUUAUUAUGAUGAGUUUGAGCAUUGUAAUUUUUGUUUUGAUCAAUAUGGUUCUAAUUGGAGUAAUUCUUAUACUUACGGUUGGGAUAAUCAAUAUAAUUAUAGGUGAUUCUUCAUGUUUUUAUGAUUACUAAUCUAAAUUUUUUCAAUACAAAUCUAGACCAUAUGAGAAUUAGCUAUUGAAAGAAUAGCUAAUGGAUGUAGAAAACCUUGCGAGUUAGUUAUUGAAAAGUUAGCUAAUGUGACACCUAAUUGUUUUGAUGGGGUUAUUGCCCAAGAAAUUCGUGUGGUAUCUUAUUUAGUGUGUACUCAAGUGACACACAUUUAAGAUAAUAUUUAUGAAUCACUUAAAAUAGGUAAAUUGUAGAAAAUUGCAGUUUUUUUGCAGUAAAUCUAGCCAAUUUUUGAUGGGAUUCAAGGCCGAAAAUACAAGGCAACAAAAAAGUUUAUUCCAGUUGUUGUCGAAAUCCUACCCGCAAUCUGCAAUCGGAUUUGACUGAAAGUUUGUUUUUGAAGGGAAUUCACGAAUAGAUUUCCUAAUUUCUUCCUCCUCCUUUGAAACCUUGCACACACUCACACCAAAAACAAACACUACUUACAACACUCCACUUUUCACCAUUUAAUCGUCGAGCAAACUUCACCAAAUCAUUUCCAGUACCCUCUAGAGAAGUUUUCUUGGUUUAAAAUCUUUCAAAAAUAACUCCAAAUUUGGAUUAAAACUUCAUAAGGCGUUUCACAUUCUUGAAUUGCUCUAUUGAGGCCAAAUUGAAAUGAGUUUCCUGGGGGUUGUACACACCAUUUGCAUCUCUAAUAAGCACCCAACAAGUUUGAAGUACCAAAUUUUCAUUAAACUUCGUCUUUUAAUUAUUGCCAUUUGUGAAUAUUUUUCAUAUUUUUGGCAAUUUUGAAUUUCUCAUCUUUGUGAAGUUUUGUGACUUUUACUUCACUUGUUCGCGUUGUUAAUGAUUAUUGAUGUUGAAUGAAUCAUGAAUUUAUGAAUAUUUGAUUAAUUUGGUGAAUUUUAGCUAAUUUAAUGCUUAAUUUGGCUUGGUGAAAAUUUUUGAAUAUUAAAUGGCCAAUGUAGCAUUUUAAUUAGUUUUGUGGGAGUUUUAUGAUAUUCAUUUGAGUAUUCUAGAUUACCUAAAUGUAUGAGAAUAUGCAUUGGUUGAAUUAUUAGAUAAUUGUAGAAGUUAAGGUUAAUUGAAAAAUGAACUUCAAUUGGCAAAAUUGAUGAAUGCACUUGUGCUAUUUAUGGUUCAAUGGUUAUUAGCACUUCAUAAAUAAUAAUAAAAAUUCCAUUUAUAUUUGAUUUGGUGUGUUUGCCUCUAUUUUGGGAUUUCUUUUGUAUUUGUAGGGAAUUUUGGUAAAUUGUAUCUUAAGAACAAAAUAUAUUAAUAGAACUCACUUUGUUCAUGAUUAUUGGCAUAUUUUGUGAAGUUAGCUCAUAUUUAGUUAUGAUAUUUAUGCAAAUACUUGCUAUGUGAAGUUUGCUAGUUUCAUGUUUUUAUCAUCGUUGAACAUUUUGUUGGUUCCACUUAUUUGACCUAUUUUCCCAAUUUUUCUUGACUUGCAAGUUUACUUUUUGAUGGUUGCAUGAAUCUAUUUUUAGUUGCCAUUUGUAGUGUUUUUUAUGUUGGCUUUAUCAUUUGAAGUGAUGCAUUAAUUGAAUUCUCCUUUGACUAUACUCUCAAAUAAGGUUGAGAGUUCAUCAUAUGGCACUAGAUUUGGAUUGCACAAGUUGCUAUAGGAGUAUUAUCUAUUACACUUUUUUUUAUUUUCCUUUUCUCACAUUGAUGACAGUAUGAAGUUUAAGUGUGGGGAAGGAGAAAACUUAGACUUGCUAUUUUGUGCCAUGUGAUGAUGUUUUGUGGAUUUAAAUGCAUUAGAAAUGUUAGAAUUGUACUUGAAAAAAUUGCCAUAUAGAAAUUUUCUUGAGAAAUUGGAUUACUGGUAGGAAGUUUCAUCCAAUUACAAGAGAAAACUUUGUCAAAAUUUUUUCAAAAUCUUUUCCAAAAUUUCACUAUGGCAAAAAAGUUUUGACAUUUAUGUAAUUUUGUUUUAAAAGGACCAUUUGUUCCAACUUUAAACAUUUUGAUGCUCCUACAACUUUAUACUUUUUUUUAAAAAAAAUUCUUUCUCAUUUGACUUGGAAAUGGUUAUUAUGCAAUUAGAAUUUUUGCAUUUUGUAAAGUAUAUCUUGUAAAAUGAGGAGAGUUAUGCUUAUAUUUUACAUGACUAAUGAGAUUUCUCCUCUUUACUUAAUUUUACAAAUGAAUGAUUGUUAUAGUCAAUAUUUGUUAAGAAUGAUGGCUUAUUUAUUGUAUUUCAAAAUAAAAGAAGAGGAAAGAAAAGAAAAAAAGAGAAAGAAUAUGAGGUUUUGGUUUUACUCCAAUGAUUCUUAUAUCGGGUAACCAGGGGUUGGCAUCUACAAAUGUCGAUAGUCAUAUUAAAAGGUACUUGAAUUAAAAGUAUGUAUAACAACUUGAAUAAGUGUAGUGUUGAGUAACUAGGUAUUUUCACUUAAAAAUAUUGAUCUUCACAUUAAAAGAAAUUUUCACUAUUUGAGUAAAAAUUAGAAUGAAUAAGUCCCUCUUAAAUGUGAAAUUUGAGGAAAAAAAUGAUUGUUGGAGAGUCAUAGCUAAUUUUUGGGCUAUAUGAUUUGCUUGCUUGAAAAAUUAGAUUAGGGUGAGAGAUUAAGUAAAACUUGUUUUAAUUAUGUUAUAAUAGUCUUUCCUUUACCUGGUAUUAUGAGUAUUUAGUAUAAAUUGAAUGAUUGUCUAAUGAUCAGUUCUCGAAUUAUGAGGAAUUGAAUUUGGAAAAGUGCAUAUAGUGUCUUAGCACUUUAGUCAUUAUUAGUGAUAAUAUGUGGAUUGCUUGAGGAUAAACAAUUAUUCAAGUGCGGAGAGUUAUAAGUGAAUAUUUUGUGCUUUAUUUGGAUGACAUUUGAUGUUAUUUUUAGUCACUUUUGCAAUGUCAUAAGCCAAAGAGGUCCAUUUUUGCUAGAAUUGAUUCUAAAUGUUACUUAGUGCUUAAAUGAGAUUUUAGUCCCUUUUACUCGCAUAUUUUUGGUUAUUUUUUUGUAGGAAUUGGAAAUAGACUUCAUUUUGGAUAACAAAUAAAUUUGUAUUAUUUUAAUUGAACUCCUAAAGUUUGCGAUGAUGGAAAGACAAUGAUAAAACCUAUAAAAAAAAAAUCCUUGUAGGGAUUGUUGGAGGGAUUUGAUGUAGAAAUUUUUGGUGAAAUAGGGGAGCAAUCUCUCCAAGAAUCCGGCUGGAGUUCUGAAAGGAUUGCUAGAGGGAUUCUAGUCAAACACUGUGGUUACAACUUUUGCAACUUGAUUUCAAAUUCAUUAUUUCACACCAUUUGAGGGACAUCUCAUAGAAAAGUUGUGGCUAUAAAGUGGAGAUUCUAGUAGUAAUUCUUAGCCUUAUUUCUUCAAUAAUUAUGUAUUUUAGCUUUGAAUUCACAAAAAUUGAUAUUUGAAAUCAAUGUGCACACUUGAAGACAAAAAGAGGGAUAAAGAUUUCUCUAUGAAUACAAGCGUGUGCCUUCUUAUUUAGGGAGAACUUGGAGAGUGCAAGAACACAUUACAAAAAUGUAGCUCUUAUAUUUUCUUAGUUUUACAUUAGUAUAGUAUAGUUUAGAUAGUAUAGUGUCUCAAUUGUCGUCAUCUCUUUUACAUUGGCUACAUUAGGAUGAAAAUGGAGAUGAAAGAGGGGAUGAAGUUUAUGUGACAAGAGUUCUCUCUUUUCCAACUCUUUAUCUUUUGUAUUGGAUUCUUAUAUUUGGUUAAUAUACAAGUUUUGGAUUUUAUGUUUAGCAUGUCUUUCUAAAGUUUAUGCAUUGGGUUUUGAUUGAACUUUCUAUAAUUGUAUUGUAUUGAUUUUUGGCUAUUUGAUGCUAUUAUUUUGAACAAGUUAUUUAGCAUUUUUGCGUAUCAAUCAUGAUUAUCCAACUAUUGAUUGUGAUAAUCUUAAAGUAUUAGAUUUGCAAUGAGAAUUAGAAUUUAAUACUAAUUCAAUGAAGUGCUAAACUUAAGGAGUACACUUACAAAAAUAGAGGUACACCUUUGUGACUUUUGUGGUCUUGUUCCAUGCAAUUUCAAAGAGGUAAUGAACUUGGAGCUAAUUUUAUAACCAUGAGAGUAGGUAUAGAUUAGUUAGAGGUAUAGUUGAUUUACUACGAAAAUAGGUUUCACAUAUAUAAGAAAAAUUCACCAUAACUAACCAAAAUAGUAGCAAUGAUGCAACAACUGUACUUUCAUGGGUAGUUAGGGAUGCCAUGAUCUAUGGAGUUUUCAUUUGCUAUUUUCUUGCAAAUUUUAGCUUAGUUUUAUUUUCUUCAAAAUUUGAACUUAAUUUUGUAAGCAUACCCUGCGCUCGUCAUCAUGUCUGAAAUUGCCGCCCUUACAUAGAAUUGUGUCUUCUUUUAGUCUUGCUUAGUGCAAGGAUUUUUUAACCUUUACAAAACCCAUAAACUAAGAGAAUCUCUAAUCUUAUAUUGAUUCAAUCAUAUCCUCAUCUUCUAGCCAUAUAUGGCAACUCUAGGGAGGUGCUAGUGUCCUAACAAUACAUUUUUCUUUUAGCAAAUUCCUUAUAAGGCUUGUGUUUAAUGAUGAAAAACUUGUGUUUGUCUUCCUAAAAAGGGCUUUCGGAUUUAAGCACGAAGCUUGAACGUAAAACCAUCUCUACUAAAUUGUUUUUUUUUUCUUUGAUAUGUUGAACUCGUCUCCCAUUAUCAACUGAAACAACUUCCAAUGAAUAAAGCCCGAUUUUUGGAUAAGUUUUUUUCCUAUUUCAGCUACUUGAACUUUAAUUCCACCUUGCUACUUGCUAUUUUAUAUAGCAACAUUUAUAGUCUCUUGAUCUUGCUUUCAAACUUUAGGAAGUAAGACCUUUUGAGAUUUAAGAGGACAUUCAAAAAUAGUAUACUCAAAUUUUUUGAAAUGGCUACACUUAGGUGGAGUGAAUUUGUAGUACAACUUUUAAGAGAAAGAAAAUGGAAGAAAAAGCAAGAUAGUAAUCUUCCCAAACCUCACACAAAAGAUGCUAUUCCUUUACAAUCAUCUGUAACCUUUACAAAACCCAUAAACUAAGAGAAUCUCUAAUCUUAUAUUGAUUCAAUCAUAUCCUCAUCUUCUAGCCAUAUAUGGCAACUCUAGGGAGGUGCUAGUGUCCUAACAUUACAUUUUCCUUUUAGCAAAUUCCUUAUUAGUCUUGUGUUUAAUGAUGAAAAACUUGUGUUUGUCUUCCUAAAAGGGGCUUUCGGAUUUAAGCACGAAGCUUGAACGUAAAACCAUCUCUACUAAAUUGUUCUUUUUUCUUUGAUAUGUUGAACUCGUCUCCUAUUAUCAACUGAAACAACUUCCAAUGAAUAAAGUCCAAUUUUUGGAUAAGUUUCUUUCCUAUUUCAGUUACUUGAACUUUAAUUCCACCUUGCUACUUGCUAUUUUAUAUAGCAACAUUUAUAGUCUCUUGAUCUUGCUUUCAAACUUUAGGAAGUAAGACCUUUUGAGAUUUAAGAUGACAUUCUAAAAUUGUAUACUCAAAAUUUUUGAAAUGGCUACACUUAGGUGGAGUGAAUUUGUAGUACAACUUUUAAGAGAAAGAAAACGGAAGAAAAAGCAAGAUAGUAAUCUUCCCAAACCUCACACAAAAGAUGCUAUCUCAGAAAUGGUCAAGCUACAACUACUUAGGCUACUACAAAGAUAGUCGAGGCACAACUACUUAGACUACUGGAAUGAUAAAAAUCAAUUUCAAAACUUUAAAGAAUCUAUUUACUUUUCAAAGAUUCUAUCUAUUUAUAUAUGCAUGUCUGAAAUUAAUCACUUUUACAAGGGUUUUAAGGAAUCAUACUCAUAGUGUCCAUAGUAGCUUGGGUCAAAUAAGAGCCCAUUAGGGUUUUGACAAUUAUAAUUUUUGGGGUCAACAUAUCCGACACUUUUUUGUGGUCAACCUGUCCUUCUAGAAGUAGUUUAGACAGCCAUUGAACAUCUUCAAAUUUUUAACAUUAUCUUUUGAUUAGUAGUUUUUGAAUCCAAAAUGCUUAUCCAAAACUCUCAUGUUGGUAUUCUAUUCAUAGACACCAAAAUUUUGAUAAUUUGUUUUUAUUUUCUUUACCUUUAUUUUUUAUUGUUUUAACCCUUUAAUUAUUAUUUUUAGGAAAAUCAUCUUUUGUAGGAAAAUCAAGAAAAGAAAAGAAAAGAAAAAUGGAAAGAAAACACAAGGAAAGAAAAGAAAAAAAAAAGGAAACAGAAAUCAGUUUUUGUAUAAAAUUUUUUUUUUCCAUUUUUCCAUGGCUUUGUACCAGAAGCCAUGGAUAAACAGUACAGUACCAUUGCAGCUACAAUUUUCAUCCAUUUCCACACACUUUUUUUUUUUGCAUUUUUCUUUCCCUCCAAGUCAUCAAGAAAAAUCUGGGAUCAAAGCCAUCCAAUGGCUUCAAAGUUGCCAAGAAACCCAGUUCUAAUCUCCACUAUUGCUCCUAGGUUUUGAGAGGGGUUUUGUUCCUAUAAAAGGCUCCAAACGUAGCCAUUAGGUAAGAGAAUUGAGAGAGGGAGGCGACGGACAAAGAAAAAAGAAGAAAAGAGAGAAAAGGAGAGAAAAAUAGGGAGAUAAAGAGAAAAAAGGUGCAGAAAUCUUCUGGGAAAAUUUUGAGCCAGGGCUGAUCGUCAAGCCUAUUUUCUGCUCAAAAUUUGAAUUAUAUUUUAGUUCUUUAGGUGAUAUUUUUGUUUUUGCACCAGAUACAUUCACCAAACAACUUUUGUUUAGAAAACUUCCCAAAAAAAUGUCUCCAGGUCUUCCAAAUUUCACCUCAAAGUUUGCUCAUUGUCAGCUCUUGGACAUUCUUUGGCAGAAAUUUGCUACUUCGAGUCUCUCAUUUGGAUGCGUUUUUUUAAAACCCUCCAUGUUUCUUUGGUUCCAUAAUACAUUAAAGGUUUUUUCACCCCUUUUCGUUGGUGUUUACUUAGUUUGGCUUUGAAUGUGUUAAAACUGGGCUGCUGCACUUGUUCUUGUUCUUCCCUUUUCCUGCUAUAUUUUUUGCCUAAUUUUGUGAGAUAAUAGUCCAGAUUUUGUUGCACAAUUUUGUGAUAAACAUCGCAUUUGAAUCUCAUGCCACUAUCUAGCAUAUUUGGUUUUGAAAUUUUGGCAAACGUUUGGGUUGUAUCGCUAUGUUUGAUGAACUGCAAAAGAAUGUUGCAGCAGGUUUCGAAUUAGAUUGCAUGAAAUUUUGAACAAUUGCAUUUUCACCCCUGACUUUCUAAAUAAUUCCACUAUGGCCCAAAAAUAUGAAAAUUGAACCAAUUUUGCCUCUUUUAAGUUUUAAUCCUCUUUUUCAUAUUAUUAGUAGAUUUUCAUGCAGAUUAUUUCUAGGAUUUAAGAUGUAUCUAGGGUUUAAUAAUUUUUGGAAAGAUUUAUUAUCCUGUUGGAUUUAGUAAAGGGUUUAUAAUUUGGGUAAUGUUAUUUGGCUGGGCUUUUUUGAUAGUGGGUUUUGUUUUGUUUUGGUUGGGUUUCCUGACUUGAGUUUAGGGAUGGAAGCCCAUACAAUUUGAUUGGGUUGAUUUGGUAAAAAGAGAAGGUUUGGCCCGCUCUUUUUCUUAAGGCUUUUUGUUGGGACAGGUGGUUUCUAGCCUAAGAAAAUAAUAAAUUGGCCCAAUGGCCUGGUUUGUUAAGAGAGUCUGACGCAAAAUUUGCAAAUUAGUCCCUAGACUUUUGAAUACAUAUAAUAUGGCCCUAAAAUCUUUAGUUUUCUUUCAAUCGGUCCUUAAUUUAAUUACAAUUUGGUCUCUAAACUUUAUUUAUCUUUAAUUUUGGCCUCUAAAUUUUAUAAUAAUUAUAUUUUGACCUCCAAACUUAUAAUUUUUAUAAUUAAGUCCGUAGCAGCUUUAAUUUCUUCAAUAUAAGUUGUUUAUCUUCUUUAAUUGUUAUUUAUACUUCAUUUAAAUGCUUUAAUUGGUAGAUUCUAUGAUUAUUUUCAUUUCACUAUGAUGAUAAAAUGAAUUUGCACUAUGUUUACUAGGGGUGGGCAAAAAAACCUGUCAACCCGAAAAACCGACCAAUCCGACCCGUCUCGCAUCGAAAAUUAGGAUAUUCGAUCCGAUUUUAAUAAGCGGAGCAGAUGAGGGUCGAGUACCCAUAAAAUUUGGAUACAGAUACGGGUCAUACAAUAAAAACCCGCGAGCACCCAAUCAGGGUAUAUUAUAUAAAUAUUAGAAAAUAUAAGGUCAAUUUUAUAAUUUUCUUAAGUUAUUAACCCUAAAUCCCUAAAUCCAUCGACAUUCAAUCUUUUGUUUCUCUCUGUCUGACGUCUUCACACUCAUAGUAAUAUCUCCUCUCCUUCUCUUCAAUUUUCAUCACAACAAUUCCAAAUUGCUCUUCAAUUUUCACCACAUCGUACUACAAAUAUAUGGUUGUCUUCGAAUCAUAAGAGAAUCACAACCCAUUUUUGAUUUGCUGGUGCUCCUCAAAGCAAUCCCUCAAGCAGAAGUUGCAAAAUGCCAGACACUCAAUCGAACGCCAGUCCUUCAAUCAAACGCCGAACCUUCAAAGCAAGCCCUCAACCUAGUAAGUGAAUCCCACAAUUUUUAUUUUUUUGAUAUCUGGAAGAUAAUGCAUGAAUCAUACUACAAUAUUUUCGAUGCCUGAACCCACGAAUCGGGUUAUAAACAAAUCCAAAUAAGUUGCCCCCGCGUGAAUGGUCCAGCAGUAGCGCCUUUCACUGGUGACCUUUAAGAUCCCAAGUUCGAGUCUCCGCUCCGCUGGGUUUCUCCGCACACUUAUCGCGUUCGGGUCGGGUUGGGGCGACGGGCCCGGGUCGCAGGGGAUUAGUCGGGCCCCGUAAGGAUUGACCCGAACACCCUGUGUCGACAAAAAAAAAAAAAGGGUUAUAAACAAAUCCAAGCAAACCUAGCUUUCAAACCGUCUGACUAGAUCUGAAAGUUUGGGCUUGCGUUUAAAUCUUUUGUGGGUUUAAAACGUAGUUCUGAGAUUGAUUCAUUUGUAUAUUUUUUGAUUUCUAAUACUAUUUUAUCAAUAAUACAUAGCCAUUCUUGUAUAAUGCAAAAUCAUGUGUUAACAUAUAUUGACUAAAACUAUUAUUUGAGCCUCCAAUUAACUUUAAUGCGUCAAUUAUUUAUAAGUUAAAACUUGAUUUCACAAUUUAAUUAAAUCAAGGGUUAUAAUGUCUCAAACUUCCCUAUAUAUGCCCAAAAGUGCUCCUCAAUUAUCCAAAACAAGAGAAGGAUCACUUUCAUCCUCUUUAAUUGAACGAAGCAAAACAUACAAAGAAGACAAAAGCAGUCAGAAUCCUCUCCUAUGCAUUUCAUCAUAACAUUCCCCUGCACCAUUAUAUUUAUCAUGCAUUUUUUAUUCUAAAAUCUCAUAGUUGAGAAAAUCAGACUUCUGAAUUAUCCAAAGCAAAAUGUACAAAGUUGACAAAGGUUACUAAUGCUUUGGUUAAGUGUUACUUUCUGCUUUAAGUGUUUGUUGGAAUAAGUGUAAUGGACCACAGUUUUUUAACCAAUCAAGAAACAUGUAAAAACCAAUCACUGACAUAAGGUACCUCAUUUUUCCUUAAACUUAAUUAACCAGAAAAUGCAACGAAUUGCUACAUUUUGAACAAUCAGUUUUUCUUGUUUAAGGCGUAAUAUCUGUUCUCGUUUCCAGAUGUGUAGUAAUUAAAGUUUUUUGAAUUUUUCAGAUGUCAAGUAUGGAAGAUAAUACAACAACUAUAGUUGCAAGCCCAAGUAUGGAUCAUUCUCCUUAAUGUGUUGUAGAAGGAUGAACCUUUGGUAUUGAUGUUCAAUGUUUUUAAUUGUAUUUUUAGUUGAAAAAUUUGUUGUUGAAAUCUUUUUGAGGUUGUUGAAACAGUUUUGAGAUUGUAGUUUCUUGAAAUUUGUUGUGCUUGAAAAAUGGUUAUUAGUAAUGUGUUUUUCUCUUGGACUGGUAAACAAGAAUUAUAGGGAUGGGUAUCCUAUAACCCGCCCCCUUUUUUUCGGGUACCUAAGGAUCAGAUAUCCGGAGACAAGCAGAGUGGAUUAAGGUCAAAAAAAUAGUGAUCCGAUAAGGUAGGGUCGGGUCAGCCAUAUCACAUUCGGGGAGGGUACCCGACCCGUACCCACCCCUUAUUAUUUACAUGUUAUUUCUUUUAUUUGUUAAUGAAAUUGGUACCUUGACCCUUUUGUUGAUUUUGGAGUAUAAAUAGGCCAAAUCCAACCCCAAUUAACCACUACUUCAAGAGAGAUAUCUUCUUUUAUUAUUUUAACUCCCUUAUGUGUUCCUAUGUGUUUUGAUGUGUAAUUGCAUGUUUUUAAGUGUUUUUUUAUUUACUCAUUUUAUUUAUUUCAAGUUUCAUGUAUUUAAUUUGAUUUUGAUGAUUAUUUGAGAGGCAUUUAAAUGAUGCCAAAUUGUAAUAGAUAGGUGCUCAGGACAUGUAUUUAGUUAGGUUAUGUAAUAGAUAGAUUUUAAUUUUGCAAAAAAUGUAAUUAGUUAGAUAAAUGUAAUGGUUAGGUUAUUAUUUUUUUAAAAUUUUCCCUUAGAUUGUAAAUAGGGUCCCAAAUGUAAUACUUAAGUUUUCGUGCACGUUUCUUUGUUGUGUGCUUAUGUGUUUACUCGCUUUCUUUAGAAUCUUUGCAUCUAAAUAUUAUGUUUAUGCACUAUGUGCUCUAUGUGUUUACCUGUUUAUUUGCUCUAAUUAUGUUUUAUAUGAUUUAUUAAUUUAUAAUAAAUGCAUGACGUCACCACACUAGUCCAACAUUAGUUGUGGCUUUUUUUCCGAUUUCUCACUAGUCCAACGCUAGUGUGAACUUAUAAAUAUAGACUAAUCUAAUGCUAGACCCUUUAGGCCGUUUUCGCACUAAAAUCACAUGUUUGUGUGACAUUCAUUACGUUUCAUGCAUAUUUUUUAUUUCAAGAUCCUUUUUCUUAUCUUGCACAAUUUUCCUUUAUAAAUUAUCUCCCUUAUCCCUAUGUGUGUGAAACAUGACAUUUAGACUUGCAUUCCAUUUAGAAAAUCAGAAGUAGGACAGUCUAUUUGCUUGACUAGGUUAAGGAAGUCGUCCUUCAAAUAUGGGAAAUAAACGAGUAUGGUCUCAUAAUCUUAGCACGCUUAUAUCCCCUCUAUAAAAAGAAAAAUUGAGGCACGAAUCUUAGUUUCCCAUACUCAUUAUAUUGCAUUCCUUUCUUUUAGAUCACAUAUAUUUAUAUAUUACAAUUUUUCUUUUCUUCAAGUCUCAUAUUUUGCAUAUUCGUGACCCUUUCUAAGAAUCAUUUUGGGCAUCAUAAUUAAUGUGAUUUGUGCCAAUUAAACUUUGAAGAUACAUUUCGGCCCUCUUGAUAUUCAUUAUUAGGUCUAGAUUUGUAUCCAUAUAGAAACAUCCAAAUGUGAUAAGUUUAUAGGUUAGAUUAGGAAAAUAUUUAACUAAAUCUCGCAACUAGCUUUGGUUAGGUUGAAAGAGUGCCUUAGAUCAAAUCUUAUCUUCCCCUUUGUUCAACCAUGACUCCCGAAUCCUUUUUUCUUAUUUUCAAAGACUUGGAGUCAUCUAAAAAGAGUUUUAUCUAUUUUUUUUUAUUAAAAAUACAAGUUUAGAUGACUUGGUAUACCUAAACUUAAUACCAAGUGGUGACUCUUAUUUUUUCUUAAAAACCCUUUUUAGACUAUUAUUUUGGGGCCAAAUCGUUGCAUAUUUUAAAUCCCACUAGUUUUUUCAGCCUCAUGCGAUGCGUGAGGAUGCCCUGAGUCUGUGUUGAACAAGUUAAAAUGAAGACAAGUGAAUUAAUAUAAAAUAGUUAUAUAUAUUAAAUAUAUGAUGGGUGCUAGUAACUAUGAGGAAUUUAACUUUAGGUAAAUUGGUUAUUAUCGUUAUUCGUUUACUCAAUUUAUUUAUGAAAUUGAAGAGAUUUUUGUACCUACUGGACUUGGACUACUAAUUGACUUAAUAUGAGAUAUCGAUACGAUAUAUUAGUAUUUCAUAUCUGCAAUAAAUUAUCAAUGAUCUAACAGUCGUCAUGUGUGUGAGUGUGUAUUUUUUCUUAAUUGCACUGAUAAAUAAGACCUUGAAAUUAGGUUAUCUAACAUUCUUAAUGUAGCAUUAAUCAGUAAGUAAUGACUAAAAUUAAGUAGAAUUAUAAGGCAUGGUUAUCUAACCUUUUUAAUGUAGCAUUAAUCACUAAAUAAUGCCUAACAUUAUAAAAUGGAUUUAUCAUUUUCUAUAGUUUGCUAUACUUGAAUGAGCUUUCAAACAUAUUUAAAAAUAUUUUUAGACCAAUGUAAAAUUAAAUUAAUUUUUUUUGUAUAUUCAAUGGCUUUUUUCUUUUAUAUUAAUAGGUCUGGAUGCAUGACAUAUAAUUUUUAUUCAACUCUAUCCCACCAUGAGCUCGGUUUAUAUAUACUAUCAUUUCUCCUAAUCAAGAUUUCAUAUUGGAACCUUUUUUGUUUGUUGCAAUUCAGAUGAUUGUUUGAUUGAUAGAUUAAAAGUAUUCAAGAAUGAAGGGAGCAACAAUGGUUUCUUUAGACAAGACAUCAUCUAUUGAAAAUGAGUCUUGGACUCUCAAUAGACUCUCAAUAUUGAACGACUUCAACUUGCAGGGGUAAAUAUACAUAUUUUCUUAUUUUUCUUUCUUUCUUCCCCUUUUUUGGUUGUCUAUUCUUUGUUUAUUUUUGUAGAUUUUGAUGAUUUUGGAUUUGAUAUUUGGUGAGUACGACAAGCAUGGAAGAAUCUCUUUGAAUUUUCACUAAGAUAAUGGCUUAGAUAUAUACAAUAUUCAACGAUUUCUUGAGUUAAAAAAUUUUCAUUUCUAUUUUCUAGGUUCUUUGGAUCUAUAAUUCUUACUCAUUUGAUGAUUCUUUCGAUAACUUGGUUGAUGAUUUUUUUUUUUUUGUAAUCUGUAUCAUAAGCUGCAAAAUUAUAGGUUAUUUUGUAUUCUUAAAUCAUGUGCUAAAAUAGGUGAGUUUCUCUGUUUCUUUUUCUUUUUUAAUAAAAGUGGUAUUCAAAACUAUGAGAUAGUUGGAAUCUUUAAAUGGUGAAUUCCAAAUCGACUUGUGUUUAAGGAUAGAUUGAAAUAAAAUGCUAAGAAAUAAAGGAUGGAUCUAUUUUAGAAAUGGGGUGACAAACUCGUGUUUAAAAUUAGAAAAUAUGUAUUUCUAGAAUCAUUUUUUCAUACUUGAAAGAAAAAAUUGGGACUAUUGUAAAAGUUCAAAAAUUAUAAUCCAUUUCUUAAAUUGCAUAAUUUUUUUAUGAAGAAAGUUUGUCCUUUUGCAAAAAAAAAAAAAAAAUGUUUACACGGGGAUCCCUCUAUACUUGCUGAAAACCAAGAACAGAACCAAGAAUUGAACGAGAGGAAUUGCUGUCCACAAAAGAGAUCAAUAAGUCAACAAAAAUUAGGGUCAAAAAAUAACAAAAUUACAAAACAACCAAGCAAAUAUAACAUACAUGUUGAAUGAAGGGAAAAAUAAAUGGCAUGAUUGGAAAAUAUGGCAAACACCUAAGGCUAAACUAAUACUCAUAAAUAGCUAAGGUGGCCCACCUCUCCGGAUCACAAGGGGCAACAAUGACUCAAACAAAAGAGGUACAAAGAUCAAAUAAAUUACAAAGCAUGCAUCUUCCGGAGAUACAGUAGUCAUGCGUGUGAGUGUGUGUUUUUUCCUAAUUACACAGAUAAACAUGACCUUGAAAUCAAGUUAUCUAACAUCUUAAUAUAGCAUUAAUCAGUAAGUAAUGCUUAAAAUUAGGCAAAACUAAAAGGACCCUCUAACCAUUCUAAGAAUUCAAAAAACAACUGGGCAGCCGCUUGUAGCAGAGUGCAAGGUUCCCUUGAACUCUAUUUGUGUGGCUGUAAUUGGUGCAAGGUUCCAUCCAAGAGCCCCACGCGGACAUAAGUGAAUUUCACUGAAGCUCAAUAGUUGGAACCGAGCUUACAAGAUCUGGUAAAGGAUACUGUGUGACAGCCUUCGUAAAAUAUGAAAUGUUAGGCAUGUUUCAUUUCUGCAUAAAAGUUGCAGUAGUAUUGUAAUCACAUAUACUUAAUCAUAAGCAAGGAACAAACUUCCUUGUAGAGUUAGUCGAUCCAUGUGCAGCUCAUAAGAGCAAAAUUGUUCCCAGAAAAAAAAAACUGUGAAAGCAAGAAACUGUCAUUGCAUUUCCAAAUAUCAAAACAAUUGAAGCAUGUUUUACAGCAAGAUAAAGGAUCAUUCUCCUUGUCUACAAGUAUGAUCUUUUCUCUGCAAUGUGAGUAGGGAAGGCCUGCAACGUGUUUAGUCCCUUCAAUAUAUCAUAUUUGCAAUUGCUGCACAAAGGCAAUCAAGAGCUUGAAUCUCACACUGCAAAUCCCAUCUCCAAAAUUUUUCUUUUGACCAGUAAAUUACAUUUGAAAGUGUCUUAUCCUUUAAUCAUGACUAUAUUAAAUUCCAAUUCAACACAUCAUCUUUUAGCUACUAAUUAGAAUCCACCACAGAAAAAGAGGAAGUAACAAAACUUCCCGCAAAACAAUGUAAAAUUCUUCUAUUUCAAUAACAUUCUUUUCUAAAUUUCCCAAAACAUUUUGAGAAAAAAACUAUAGGAAAUCUCUCCAUACAACCUGAAUAAAGAAAGUAAGAGAAAACCUACUAUGCAGUUAUAUAAGUUCUCAAAAAGGCCCAGUUUGUAUUUGAAACACUGGUUGUAGAGCAUUGAAUCAUCUCUAAUGUCCUAAAUCCUUUGACUUCUUUCUUAAAUCCAAACAAGAUCAAAAGUUCAUCUUCUUUUCUCUUCUAAGCUAACUACUAUGCUAAAAGCUAAAAAUAAUAUGCAAACUUAGUUGGUUUAAUGAUUUUUUUUUUCCAAAUUUGCAAUAGCUUGAACUGAAUAUAUCAUAUUUCUUCAACAAUAUCGAGGGCAUAUCAUUAUAAAGCUGGGCAAUCAUAAAAUAUAGAAUAGCAGAUGGAUAUUGCUAUGUACUUUCCAAUCUUGCUAGCACAAAUGCUUUCCUGAAUGCAAAGGCCAUGUUUUUUCUACUUUGGUUUUUAUUCAGAUAUGAAAGCUCUCAACUUAUACAAUGUCCAUGCUUUUUCAACUCUUAAUACAAUAAGAGACAGAAGAGGAAAAGAGAACGCAGAGCUAUCCUAAGUGAUAGCUUAUCAUUGUUGAAGUUCAAUGAUCAACUAACUUGAAAAACUCCAGCAACAUUAUAACAACAGGAAAGUCAAAAUAUGCCUAAUAACUCCGCAAUUGCUGUAAUUUAAAACAAUUAUGAACCUGCGACUGAGCUCAUGUUGGUACUGAACUUGACUGGUACAAGUUCACUCAAUUUUCAUAGAUGAGGAUUGCAUCAAAUGUAUAGCAGUCGACUCUAAUGAAAUCAUAUGACCGUUUAACUAAUUGUUCUACUCAUGCAUGGAUCUUGGAAGCACAACUCUCACAAAAGCCGUCAUGAUGAACUGAUAGUCACCAAUAAUUUUACAAUCCUAUCAUUUAUAUUAAAAAACAGAGUGAAUUUAAUAAUUGAAAAAUCAUACAAUUACACCACACCUUGCUUUGAAUUUUAAACUUUAUCAACAUACCAAAAUAAAGUUGGGAAAUUAGCAAAAUAAUGCGUGAAAAGGCUCAGCAUUCAAUGCCAAGAGGGAGGAUUGGUACCAUGGCCGCAACCUAGUUGCAUGCAAGUGAGGGAAACUAUUAAAUUUGUUCCAACCUCAGAUCUGCCAUCCGAGUUGCCCUACCAUGGAAUGGGUCCAUAACCUCCAUGCCUAAUUCAUGAACCACAACAAAAAUAACACUAUAGCCUGCGUUAUGAAUUUUCCUAUAACAGAUUCCAUGAGAAGCGGUUUGGAUAUAGAAUUUUUGUUGGAUUAGGAGGGUGAAAGGGAAGAGGAAAAUUUCUCAAAGGGAUAAACUCAUUAAGAGGACAGAAGGACAGAGAGGAUGGUGAAAGCAAGGGGCGGGCGCACAGAGAGGAUAACGGAGAAUGCAAAGAAGGUAAUCGGUUCCGAAGCUGCCAAAUAAAACUAAAAAAGAAUGGAAGCUAAGAAGAAGAAGAAAGCUAAGAGAAAACAAAGGAAAUUGCUGACCGCCCACCGCCCACAAACCAGCAGGAAUUGCUGACUGCCAAAAUUGUGAGCAAAAAUUGCUGAUUGCCAAAAUCGUCCGCGUGAAAUUCCAGUAGAACCAUUGCCAUUGAAUGGCAAAAGACCAAACUGCCCCUCAAGCUCACACAAAUCACGCUAUAACCGGCCCAUUUUCACUGUAGCAAAGCAACUGACGCUUUUAGUAUAGUAAAGAUUUUAGGCCCUUUUUUAUUUACCCUCUCAAAUAAAAAACUAAUUUUUGAAUAAAAAUUGAUCAAAAAAUACAUUUUUUUCUAAAACACUUAAAUUAUUUUUCUAAAAAAUGGGAAGCGACACUAUUUACCCCGGUAGUGAUAAAAAAGUUCACAGGAGGAAGGGUCCUAUUAGAGACAAUGAUAGCAUUAAUACACCUUUUGUCCAGUCUGGAAACAAAAAACAAAAGUUAGUUCUUAACAAAUAAUGUAAAAAUAAUCACAUCAAAUGUACUUUGUCUCAAACUCGACAGGUAGAUUUUUUCUUAGAUUUCUAGGCAGCUGGAUAGGUAGAUUUUUUCUUAAAUUUCUAGGUUGGACAUAUUGCGGGGAAAUUAACACAUAAGAUACAUAAUCCAAAAAAUACACAAAGAAAUGAGAAGAUAUCAAAAUUGUUGCCCUAUAUAGCCAAUAAACAAUUGGCAGCAUGGCCAUAAACCGUUGGCUAUAUAGGCCAUAAAGUCGUUAUGUAAUUAAGUGAAAGCACACAUGUUCAUUAUUGGGCAAAUGAUAUCAGUUCAAAAUCUAGUGGCAUUACUUCAAACUACAAGAACACGCAUGAGAUCUUGUUGUAGCAUAAGUGAAGCUUCAAAUAAUGGUCAAGAUCCAUUUUAAUUACUAUUUUAAAUCAUAUUUUUCUUCUAAUUUUUAUGUUUACUCAUAGACAGAACUUCAAAGGCUGGUCUCAUAAGUCAUAGUUGAUGGAGCUUGAGGCUAUAGAACAAGAAAACAGUAAAACUCAAAAAUGAAAAACUAAAGUUUGUACUCCCCCUAUUCCUUGAGUUAGAAGACAUGAAGGAGGUUCAAGUACCCAAUAUGACAAAGUUCUGUAUCUCCUACACAUGAUAUUUCAUCACCAACUGAAUAAUGAACCACUUAUAUCAUAACACAGAGAUGAUAAAUGGUAAGAACAGAAUGAGCAUUUGAACUAAUUAAUAUGACAGUUACUUGUUAGUAACUGAUAAUGGCUAAAAUUAUGAUAUUUUUGAAUGUGUUUCACAUUAUUUUUUAGUCAUUUGUAAGAUUAAAUUGUAUAAGCUGUCUAUUUUAGGUCACUAAUUUGCACCUUAAGUUGAUAAAUGAAUUACUUGUGAUUUUGUCAUUUUACUGGUAAAAUUUCGUUGUUUGGUAGGUGAAAUGAUCAAGCUCAAUUGGAAGCGAAAUGCGCAAGAAUAGAAACUUGAGAAGUCACAACAAAUGCUAAAAGAAGUGGUGCAAGGAAAAGAAAAAAAAAAAGAAACUCUCGAGGAAUCCACCUGUGGUUUAUCCUACGAUUUGUGAGCAGCAACUUCAUUUCGCAGAGAAAAUCAAAUAAAGACUUGUUCUGCCCAAUCCCUGGGAGAAUCCCUCGAGGGACUUGUCCAAGGGAUUCUUGGCAGUUGCAAACUACGAACUUGCAUGUUUUUUGCUUCUUUCUUUAUCUUUGAUAAGACAAAAAGAGACAACUUGUACUAAUUUAGAAGUUCUAAAAGCUUCUCUUUUUGACCUUUUGGCUCCAAUAAUGCAAGUCCAAGAACAUAUACUACCUAGUUCUUCUAGUUUAGGUAGUAGUUAGAGAGUUUUAGUUCAAGUUAACUUGAGAGAAGAGAGAGUUUGGAGAAGAAAAAGAACAACCAAAGGGUUGUGUCUUGCCCUAGUUAGGGUUGUGUUUUGCCCUUAACAAAUGUAACUCUCUUUAUUUUCUCUUAUUUUAGUAUAGGUUGGUGUAGGAUAAUCUAGUUAUUGUUAUCCAUUCUUGUAUUAUCUCAACAAGGAGGCCAAGGGAGAUAAAGAAAGAGAGGCUCAAGAAGCCCUAGUGACAAAGGGUUUUCUUCUCUUCACUUCUUUUAUCAUUGUAUUGAACUAUAAGUUUGUUGAUGCAAGAUUUGGAUAUUGUGUUUGUGAUGUUAUUUUAGUUUACCUUGGGUAUUUGGCUGAACUUUCUAUGAUUAUUUGGUGUUGAUUUCUUGGCCAAUUGAUACUAUUAUCUUGUUUGAGUUAUUUAGCACUUUUGCUCUUAUAAUCAUGAUUAACUGGCCAUUGAUUAUGAUCAUUUAAAGACGUUCGAUUUACAAUGAAAAUUAGAAUUUGAUACCAGUUCAUAGAACUGUUAAACCUAUGGAGUACGUUUAUGAAAGUAGAGGCGCAACUUUGUGACUUUUGUGGUUUUGUUUCAUGUAAUUUCAUAGAAUUUAAUGAACUUGUAGUUGAUUUUAUGACCAUGAAAAUAGGUAUGAGUUAACUAUAGGUAUAAUUGGUACACCGACGAAAGCAGGUAUCACAUAUACUAGAAAAUUACGCCAUAAUUUAGUCGAAAUUUUGGUACUCAUUUGGUUAAGGAGUUGCACUAGCAUGAAUAGGUAGAGAUUCCAUUACCCAAGGAGCUUUAUUUGUAUUUAUCUAUCCAUCUCUAGUUUAGUUUAUUUGUUUUAAUUUAAUGAUAGUCUAAAUAAUAGAGAAGUUUUAAUAGUACCGGUAGUUGCCCGUCUUCCUUGAGAGAUGGACUCUUAAUACCUAUACUCAUUCACGACCCGUAUACUUGUGAAAAAUUGUGUGUGGGAUAUUUAGAAAUUUAUAAAUGUAAAAUUUGACUGUGGAUUGAGUUUAAUUGUUAUAUACAUACCCCGCAUUCAUCAGUAACAGCAUAGGAAUUGUAAGUUAAUGAAAAAAACUCAAGCAUCGAAACAUUAUCUAGCGGAACACAGAAAACACGUCUUCUCGAAAUUGGGAAACUAAUGAAGAGUCAACAAAAGAUGUCAAAACAUAAUCUGUUCUGGCAAAAAUCAAAUUCAAUGAAACUCCACAAGCAGAAAACAGUUUUAAAUUUAAGGAUGAAGUCCUAAAACAUGUAAGUUUGCUUGUUAAAGUUCAUCAAGUAAUUUGACAAAUCAACAAUUUAUUCACAACAACUGCUAUUACAGUUGCUUAGGUGAAAUGAUACAACUAUGAAAACAUAUGUUGAGUUUGUAUUUGUAUCCCACAUCGAAAGUUUUACAAAAAAAAAAAAAAAAAACUCCUCUUUGUGGUUAUAAAUAUAGUGGGCUUAAAUAGGUUUAUGGGUGCUAAGGAUACCAAUCCAAGUACCGUAUGCACCAGUUUAAGAGAGUUUUAAGGUGCCAUUUAAGAGGAGUUUUGGUUAGGUAUUAAACCAAAAGAGCAUAUUAUGGGUUUUUGGACCAUUAAGCAAUUUAUGUUAUUUAAUCUCUUUUGUGUUUUCAGUUUUAGGUGCCUUUUUGGGCCUUAAAAUUAUUUCCUAGGUAUUGUACUCUUUUUCUAUUGUAAUAAAUCUACUAUCCCUUCGUCCAUGGACAUAAGUCAAUUCGACCGAACCACAUAAAAUUCUGUCUCUCUAUUUGAUUUAUUUGGUUUGUUAUUGUCUUUAUUGGGUUUCCAAGAAUCAUAUUAUUUUCACUGGUCAAUUUUCUAGGACUAGAUCUAACAAAUUGGUAUCAGAGUUUCAGGUUUUGAUUCUUGAUGACAAUAACAAACUAUCAAUAUCAAUUUUGGGCACUACAAAAAGUGAAGAAAAAUUUUUUUCCAUUGGAGUUCAAUUGGAUUUUGAAGAAGAGCUAUUUGGCCCAUUGGAACUUGUUGAGAGUUUUGAGAUGAAGGUGGAGUAAGAUUACUAUAUUCAUGAUUUUUAACCUGUUGGAAUUUGUUGAAUCUUUUGUUAGUUUUGACCCGUUGGAACCCAUUAAGCCUUUUGUAUCUUGGUUCAUUGGUGGCUGGUUGGGAUCCGUUGGAAUUUUUAUGAAGAAGGUAGGACUUGUUUGUUAUUUGUCUGCUAUUUGGAUGUUGAAUACACGUCAAAGUGGAGAUUUAUUGAAUUUGCCUUUGUAUCGCACAUCAAAAGUUUUACCAAGAAAUAUCUCCUCUUGGUGGUUAUAAAUAGUGGGUUUAAGUGAGUUUAUGUGUGCUAAAGGCACCAGUCCAAGUACUAUAUACACCAAUCCAAGAGAAUUUUAGGGAGCCUACGGCCCAAUUUAAGAGGAGUUUUGGUUAGGCAUCAAACCAAAAGACCAAGUUAUGGGACUUUGGACUGUUAAGUAAUUUGUGUUAUUUAGACUCUUUUGUGUUUUCAAUUUUAGGUGCCUUUUGGAUUUUGAAAUUAUUUUCUAAGUUUUGUAUUCUCUCUUGUAUACUCUUUUUAUAUUAUAAUACAACCGCUACCCCUUCGUCCGUGGUCGUAGGUCAAUUUGAACGAAUCAAUAAAAUUCUAUGUCUCUUUGUUUGAUUUAUUUAUUUUGUUAUUGUUUUUAUUAGGUUGUCAAGAACCAUAUUAUUCUUGUUGAUUAAUUUUCUGGAACUAGACCUAACAACAUAUUCUAUCAGUUCAAAAAUAAACAAGAGCACGCAGCAUGAACAUUGCAUUCAAUUUUAAUCCAAUUACUCUAAUGCUGGCAUGGGAAGGAACAAUGCCUAGUGACUUCAUACCCAUAAUUUCAGUAAGAAUAGCUCUAGUGUUUCUAGCUCGAUAGAAAAUGUUGUAUUCUAGAUGUGGGCUUUCCUCGGAUCAUAUUUUCCACUUGAAGAAGUGAAAACAUGAGAACAGAUAAAAACUUCAAAAUUUCCAUUAUUUAGCACAUUAUAACCCUUUUUCUAUUUACUUUUUAAGUACAUUUGGUCAAUUGUUUCAUCCUAGAUUGCUAAUACCAAAAUUACUGUAGCUUGCCAUCAAAGGUUGAUGGAUUACCUUCUGAAUUAGUCCUCCAAAGGGAAGGGCAAGGACCAUUUUUGGCAGAUUUCUACUUCAAAGCAGGAAAAUCUGCUCAAUAUACACAAUAAAAAAGCACACAAUAAAAAAGAAAAGAGCUUAAAAUUGUUGGGCCACAUGGACCAUCAACAGUUGGCGUACGGCCAUAAAGUGUUGCCCGUAUGGCCGUAUGGGUCAUAAAAUCAUGGGUUAAUAUCAGAAACCUCCCUUGAGGUUUCUUCUAAUCACAUCUAGCACCUCCAUGUUUUUAAAAUCACACUUAGCACUCUUGGAAUGACAACUUUGGUAUUUUGUCAGCCCCUCUAUUUGAAAAUGGUAGUAAAAAAUGAAUUGUAGGAGAGAGACUUUAUUUUUAUUCCACUUUUACCCAAAGCCCAAAAUGAUUAGUGAAUUUUAGAAGAUAAAAAUAGAAAUAAAUUGGCAUAUGAUAUUAAUUUAGAAGCUGAGGGUGUAAAAGUGUAAUAAAAAGAAUGUUAUAACUAAUUAUCAGAGAUUUUGGCGAUAUAGAGAUGCAUAACUAAUUAUGGACCUGGGGCCGGAACGGUUGCACUCCGGAAGCUUGUGUGCGUUUUGCACACGGUGUAACAUCAUUUGUACACGUUGUAACACAAGAACAACAGCGAAUAAUUAUACUACCUUUAAUAGCAGUAACCGUCUCACACGGUGUAACAUCAUUUGUACACGUUGUAACACUAGAACAACAGCGAGUAAUUAUACUACCUUUAACAGCAGUAACCGUCCCACACGGUGUAACAUCAUUUGUACACGUUGUAACACUAGAACAACAGCGAAUAAUUAUACUACCUUUAACAGCAGUAACCGUCCCUGCCCCUUCUCCACUAAUUACAUAGUCCAUGAUACUACAUUGGAUCGGUCUAGUAACAUGAUACGUAAGUCUUAUAUUGCAAUCCAAUUCUGAACAAAACACACUAUCUACAACUAGUUGUUUAGAUGGUGAGAAUUGCAAUGCACAAAACUAUACACAAGUAGUUCUAAGAUUAGUCAAACAGCACCAUAAGUGGCAGGAAAUAUAAAUCAGAUGCACAUUGCACCACUUAUCAAAAAAUUGUCCACAAAAGCUAGCAUUGCUUCAGUAUUGCUGGGGGCUAAGAAGACUAGUACCUAAACUACUUCAGAUACCAAAAGCAAGGAUUGCGGGGAACCUUUAGCUCUCUCAAAACAUCAUAGAGAAACUGCUGGUAAUAGUGUUAGAGGCCACUAUUGCAGCAGUAUUAAUGCUAACAGAAGUUUCGGCUUGAGAUUCACCAUUUAGAGUAGCUUGAGCAUUUGGUACAAAGGGAAUUAUACCUUGCUUGUUUACAGCAGCAUUGGUUUUCCAACAUUUCCCCGCUUAAAAAUUUGCCUGGUGUUGGUGGUUUUUGGGUAAUUUCUCACCUUUUGAUUAGGACAACCUGUCACAUCCUACUGCCAGGGGUGCUAAGUAUGAUUUCAAAAAUAUGGGGGGUACUAGAUAUGAUUAGAAGAAACCUCAGGGGAGGUUUCUGAUAUUUACCCUAAAAUCAUUACAUAACUUAGUGAGGCACGUGCGUUCAUUAUUUUGAGCAAAUGGUCAGGAUAACUGAAGUUUCAAAUGUUGGUCAGGAUCCAUCUUAGUGACACUUUUAAACCACAUUUUUCUUCCAAUUUUUCUUUUCCUAAAUAUAGAUAGGAUGGUCACCCAUAAACAGAACUUCAAAGGCAGGUCGCACAGAUGGUAGUUAAAGGAGCUUAAACCUCUUGAACAAGGAAAACGGUAAAACUCAAAAAAUGAAACCUAACUCUUUCAAUUUUCAAGUUUUAGAUUUUAAAUUUUAAUUUUAUCAAGUGCACCCUAAACUUUGUACCCUCCUUUCCUUCUCAUUCCUUGUGUUAGAAGACAUGUAAGAGGUUAAGUACCAAUAUGACAAAGUUCUGUAUCACCCACACAUGAUAUUGCAUCACCCGCUGAGCACGGAACCAGUCAUAUCACAACACGGAAAUGAACAAAUGGUAAGAAUAGAAAGAGCUAAUUGAUAUACUACUAGUCGUUAGUAACAGCAUAGAAAUGGUAAGUUAAUGAAAGUGAACUCAAGCAAUAAAGCAUUAUCUAGUGGAACACAGAAGAUUAUCCAAGUCAGAAAUUUCACACAUGGUGCAAACAUUUUAGUAAACAUUUCCUUCAUGACUUGAAGGUGUUCGUUCAUAUAACCCUUUCGUGUGGCAUUUAUGAGAUUAAAAUGGCCACCUUUUGUCUUGUUAUAAAGCUUUGGAUUUGAUUAGUCAAGUCCUAAAAUGUACAAAUGAGAAACAUCUAAGAUCAUCUACUGUUGAAUUCUUUUAUUGUUCGCUACCUAAUGCAUUUUGGUAUUUGGAACCAGGUGAAGAAGGCCGUCGAGCCACCCUUGGAGGUUCCUUAGAAUUUGCCAACUUGUUUAAAGUAAAGGUACAUGGUUUAUACAUCUGAUUUAAUUUACUAUUUUUGCUUAUAUUCAGAUUUAUUAUCCCAUUUGCAUUUUUAGACACAUUUUAGAUUUAGUUUCACCUUUCUUAAUAAACAAUACCUACGACUCCUUUUAACCUACUUGCUGAAGGACCUUAUAAGGACAUGUUGUCUCGAUUGAUUCUCACAUCUGUACGUAUCUAUGUCUUGCUUGAUCUACUUUCUGUCAUUAUUGCACAGAUUAUUAUCCUUUUCAUUCAAAUAAACCCUAUAAAACAGAUGCCCCGUACUGGAUAAAUGGAUAUCAGGCAAGGCCGACAGGUGAUUUUGGAGCUAAAUAAAUAUGGUUAAUAAAGACCUUGAAUUUUAUGAUUGCUUGACAAAAGCAUCAUGUUGGUUUCUUGUCUGAUCGACAAAUGCAGACUCCAACAAGUCACGCCUUGAUUAAAACAGGAAAGAAGAUGAUAAUGUCAUUCUAUAAUUUAAUCCUUAAUCAGAAAAUCCAAUAAAACGUCUGCCCAACUCUUAUCAAAAUAAUAAUAAGUAUUAACUAUUACAAUUUCCUAACAACUUAAACUAUAUAUUUGCAUAUAGCUAAUAUUACAAAUCACUGUAUAAAAAUAAUAGAGCCCCAAGAGUCCAAUUCUUUGUCCACAAGGAGCGGAAUUUUGAAGAGCAAAUGCGCAAAUUUAUACGCACUGAAGGAUUUUGCUCUAAAUACCUGAUCUCUACUACUUUAAACGAACUCCUUUUAGUGGCAUAAUGCAAUGAAAGAUUAGAUAGAAUGAGCAUUAAUUAGUUAGAUGUUGAACUUGAAAGAAUACCAUUUUGGUCUCCAGGUUUAGAAGUCCUGGUUCUAAUCUUCCUUCCCCUUUCUUUCUUAAAUCUGUCCUUUCGCUGCUUAAAAAAAUAUGAAAAAAAAAAACUUGCAAGAUGACCAGCACAUUAUACUUCCUUUGGGAGCUAACCUUGUGUUUAAUAUUUUCAAAGUGCCAAUUUGGCAAUUGAGCAGGUUGAGCAGUUUUUGGGUUGAUUAGUGCUCGGUUUUCAUUUGGAUGGAUUAUAUCCAUCCCGCACAACUACAAAUUAGGUUGAUGUUAGAUUGUGUCAUAUUAGGUCAAUUCAAACCCAUGACCGAAUUGUAAUCCAACAUAUUAUUUCAUAUAUUUUGAUACAUAAUACUCUCUUAAACACAUUUACACAUAUAAAAUGAUUUUUUUUUUACAUAUAUAAACACAGUUUCACAUGCAUAAACAUAUUUUCACAUACCAAAAUACUUUCACACAUACAAAUACACACUCACUUCUUAAGUUCCUUGGAUGGUAACACAUUAUUUUCACACAUGCAUACACACUAAAACAUACACUAACAUACUUUCACACAGACAAACAUACACAUGCUAACUUUUUACACUACUUGGAUGGACAAAUUAAGUGCAGAAAAUCCUUUUGAAAAAGAAAAUCAAAUCAUGUAAAAAUGCAAUUAAAGGAAUCACCAAAUUGAACUCAAGAAUUGUAGAAUUCAAGUAAAUGGAGUCAACAGGUGUUUUUCUUUUCAUUGAGCAACAUCUAAAUCGAUUCUGGGCAGUAAAGACAUUUUAUUCUAGUUGAUGAAACAGAGGUUACGCACAUUUGGUGUCCAGAAAAGGAUAGAAUUGCAAAAUACAAUUUAAUUUUACCAAGUUAUAGUGUUGAAAAUGUUGACAGCUGUUCCAAUGCCUGGGACAAACACAAUCAAUUUGGAUGCAACCUGGGGCAACGCAUGUACAAAAAAUCAACACAAGUAAAUUAUUUGAGCCGCAAAAUAUUGAAAUUGGAAUUGGAUCCGAACUGCCAAUUUUCUCAAAUCAUUCACAACGGGUGACCAUUUUGCAAUUUAUGCUAAAUAUUAUGCUAUGAAAACUCCAAUUACUAUAAAAAAAAAUGCUAUUAGUGGCACUGGCUCUUCAAGCAAUCCCCAAAGUUUGAUGGAUUAUUUCUUCCAGUGAUGGCGGGCAAGUAAAUAACUAAUUAGUAGUAGUCACCCAGAAAUCAUACUCUCUCGUGUUUUCAUGGGUACUAAGUUUGUAACCCCAUAAAAUUGAUUAAUGAAUACAAAUAUCACCUAUGUUCUUGUGGGAGCUUAUUAGAAACUUCUUAUAGUUGGACAACUAUGUACAUUUGGUUGAAAUAAUCCUCAAUUAGUCAACCUGUAAUUUGCAGAGAUUAUUAACAUAAAAUAAAACUUCUUAACUUGUAAUUAGUCAACCUGUAAAGUGGGAAGAUGUCUGUAGACCAAAGAAGGAUGGUGGAUUAGCAGUGCAGAACAUAGCUAACUGGAAUAAAUAUCUAAUCUUUGAGCUCAUUUGGAAUCUCUGUCAAAAAAAAAAAAAAAAGAUUCUUUAUGGGUUAGAUGGUUGCAUUCUGUGAUGUUGAAAGGGCAGUCUAUGGGAAGUGAAAAUUCCCGCUAAUUUUUCAUGGUAUUGGAGAAAGUUGUUACAACUUAGGCACUUUGCUCAGUCAUGGAUUAAAAGUGACAUUGGUGAUGGUAAGAGCAAGUUUUUCUGGUUUGAUAAUUGGCAUGCACAUGAGCCAUUAUAAGAUUUCGGAUUGUCUGUUGCAUCUAAGGUAAGCGAUCUGGUGAAGGAUGGAAGGUGGCCUGGCCCAAGGAAAGGAGGUUUAAUGUAAUAACGCAGCAGUUUCAGGAGUCUACUCCUAAUUCUAUUUUACAGCAAAUGCACGGAGAGGAUCAUAUGAAGGUCUUUUCUGUUAAAUCUGCUUUGAAGAAACUCUAUCUAGUUGACAGAAAAGUGAAAUGGAAUUCUUUAGUUUGGGAAAAGGUUUUGUUCUCAAGUAUGCUUUUAUUUUGAGGUUGAUAAUACAGCAAAGUUGAUGACUAAAAAUAGGCCUAUCAAGGGUCUGUUUGUUUUGACUGAAUAGAUUUUCCAGAAAAUAUUUUCUGUGAUUUCUGCUAUUUGGUUCAAUUUAGCGCUGAGAAAAUGAUUUCUCUUGUAAAAUCUUUUCCCUAAGUGGGUGUAAAAUAACUUCACUUAUAAACUUAUUGAAGUUAUUUUCGACUCUCUGAUCCUGUCCCUUUUGUCCUAAGUUACAUUCAUCAACAUAAGAAGUAAAAGGCCAUAGGAAAUAGUUUCGGUGGGAUUGUCCGAUAUCUCUCGACAAAACAUCAUCGAUUCCUCUAUUCAUUCCAUGUUAUUCCUUCCCUCACAGAAACACAAUCCAACCUAUCGCACAUCCCAUUGCAUCUGCGUCGGACUUACAGAAACAAUUAAGAACUGCAGAAAUAUGGAGGAUCUAGAGAGACAAAACAAGGAGAUUGGCAGCAUAAAGAAAGAAGAGAUUUCAGAGGAACUUUUACAGAAGGAAGAAAGUCUUUUAAGAUUGGCCACGGAGGAGAAAGGUGAACUAAUUCUAUAUAUCACCAACAAUGUCCAGCUUUUGCUUUGGAAAUUUCAAUCCGAGAUCUUCUAGAUCUUUGAAAGAAUUUUAGCGGUAAAAAAUAUUCUUGUGAGAGUUGGUUUUAUUUCAUUGUCAUCUUCAAUGUCUUAUGACUGAUUAUGGUUGAGUUGGAAAACUAAUAUUGAUCAUUCAUUUGUCUAUUGCUUUAAUCUCUUCUUGGUCAAAGAAUGAUGGCAGGAGUAGUGUAUGUGAUGGAGGAAAGUUUUUUGUGGUGAAGACGAAAGAGAAAUGGCGGAGCCAGCCGAUGGGAGAGAAUUUCUUGAUAGGGUGAGGAAUUGAAUUAAUUACUCAUGAGGACAAAUGUUUUCCAAAAGUAACCAAACAAAUGAAAAUUAGAAAGAAAACAAAACUUUUUCCAAAAAAAACGGCUUCCAAUGAAAUUAUUUUCCCAAAGAAAAUAUUUUACGUCCUACCAAACAGACCCCAAGUGGAGUGUAACUGAUACACUUCCUAGAUGUGUGUUAUGUGAUCAAGAGGAUGAAUCUGUUAAACAUCUAUUUUUUGAGUGUUCCUUCUCCAGGUGUGUGGGAAAAAGUGCAUAGAUUGUGCUUGCUAUAUAGGGGGUGCUGACUGUUAAGAAUUUGUAAUCACUACAACUAUAGAAAAUAGCUUUGGCGCGAAAAUUCACUUUUCUUAAGCAAGUUUGCCCCCACUAUUCUACUACCAGGUUUGCGGCAAUUCCCUCCAAGAAUAACAAAGUCCAUCAGAAUUUUUACACAAUAGUAUGCAAAAAUUCUCCCUAGAACGGUUUUAGAGAACAUCAUUUUGAAAGAAAUAGAAGAAUAGUAAAACUAAAAGUAAAAAGUGAGUUUUCUGAUACAUGGACAUCCUUAUUUAUAACGUUCAGAUACCCCAAACGAAAUGUCAUGUCCUUUUAAAAUGAAUGGAUACUUAACAGACAUUUAAGAGUUGUAUCAUUAGACACAAUUGCUAAAAGAAUACCGUUUAGUUAAGAAGAAAUAUUAAAAUGAAAUUAAUUAAAAUUAAUUUCAGUUCUUAAGACCCAAGUGCCAAUCUUUUGACCAAUAAAUUUAUAUUCUAAUUUAAUAGUCAACGUGACAAAUGUACGUGCAAAUUUGAAGUCUCCCUUCAAAAUUUCCCGCCAUCCAAACUUAUUUGAAUAGGUGUGGACUUAAUUAUAAACCUCUUCCAUUCGUCACACACUUUCAAUAUGGAACUCAUUACUAACUAUUUCCUACACUGACCUCGGAACAAGAAUUAGAUUGGUGGUGUCACCAUGGUGGUUCCAACUCCUUUGCUGCUAAGAUCGGAACUCUCUUCAGCUGUCAUUGUUUGGCAGCCUUGAUAGGAGAGGAAUAGAAGGAUCUUCCAACAUGUUGCUCCGUGCACAAGUCCUUACAUCCAUCAGUAGAAUGGUCCAAAUGGUGAUUAUUUCAUGGCCUAAAUCUCCUCGAACACAAGCGAAUUGGCAGUUGAUGAUUGAACCAGGUUCUCAAUGGAGUGCGUGGUCUAUUAGUUGCAGUAGUAGCUAAAAAUAGACAAACUGGUGUGUAGUGUAGAUCACUGCAGUAUCUCAGAUGUAGUAGGAGUUCUUUCUCCAUUGUACAGUUAAAUUGCAUAUCAAUAAAAUAAUUCGUUUUUUGCCUAAAAAAAAAAAACUUGCUUACACCUUAGGAACAGAUCGACUACAUAUAUUUGAAAUGGAACUUGGGAGACCAGAUUCCUGCGAAAGACAAGAAUAAUUUACGGCUUCAUUUUCUACAUUUGUUUAUCAACUUAGACUUUUAAUAAAGAAACAAGGGGAAAGAGUAAAAUCAAAGAAAAUUUAUGUGUAUAUGUUUUUAUUACUUAUUCUUUCUUUUUUUUGGUAAAACAAGUAUAUACAUUUCCUACAUAGUAUCCGAAUUGCUAAACACAAUACGCGACAGAUAUUAUCUAAAUUAGGUCGAACAAAACAUAUCAAUAAACUUGUCGCUAGUUGUAAGCUCAGCAGAAAUGUGAUGUUGUUGACCUUUUUUUGUGAACAAAUGUGGUGUUGUUGACCUGGAAAAUAAAGCUGGUCUUGUCCCAAAGUGAAAAGGAUAACAUUUAAUUUUCCUAUAAGGAAUUUGAAGAUUAACCUUGUUUUGUACAGCUAGAAUGAAAACAAAAGUGCUGAGGAUCUGUUUUCUUCUAAGGUUUGCUGCCAAGUGUUAAGUAAAAGAAAGUACAGAGCAGGCAGUUCCUGAAGGUUAGUAAUCAAAUGGAUCCAAGAAAUGGUGGAAAUAUAUAGAAAAGAAAUCUUCAACUGAGGCAAGUUUCUUAUUAGUCAACACUGAGCAUGUGGCAUGAUAUAAAUCAUGGAAUAAGUUCAACAUUUUUAGUUGUUUUAUGUAGGAGAAAAAACAGGUAGAUGAUGGACAAUGACAAGAAGACAAAUCAAAGUAUACAAGCAACAAGAAAGGUGUUGAUCUGAAAUUCAAGAAACAUUCAAUGUUUGACGAAAUUAAUUUCUUGCGUGUACGGUGUGCUUAAUUAGUAAUGGUAAGUAGCGGUCAUGAUGUUUACUAUGGGAUAUUCACAAAAUACUUAGAUAUUUAUUCACUAAAUCAAUUUAUUAUCCACUGAGUGACAAAUGAUGCAAUAAAUUUUGGCUAGGAUAAGCAAAUUAUCGUGGUAGCAACACCAAUAUACAUUUUCUGUAUUUUUACUCUCACACCCUAUCUAUCUUCAACUGCUAGACAUAAAAUUCAAAUUCUUAAACUCUAAACUUGACAGUGAUGAGGAUUUUAAGAAUCCUUUCCUAAUCAUUAAGCCAACCCCAAUGAUUUUACAAAAGUUUCAUUCAAGGCCAUCUUCAUAUUUUUUUGUGUGCUUAAAGUUAUUUUACAUCUAUCGUUUUUGCAUUUUUAAUCGGAAUGCUUUCAAGAUUCAGUCAUUCAGAACAUUGACUCAAAUCGCCGGUCGCCACUAGAAAGACUUGAAAAGUCAAGUCUCUUGGCCGGGCAAGACACGAGCAAACUGGCAUAACUAGAUGACGGCUAGUUUGACUGCGACAUGUAUGAUCAACUUGUUAUUAAUUUAUAGCUUGUGCCUGCAGUUGUCUUCAUUUUUUUUUUUUUUUGGCUCGAAGUUCCAACUGAACUGGGUACUACGGAAAAUAAGAAUGAGACUGUAAGACAUGUUUGUAUUGUUGCCAGCACUAGACGUAUUUCAGCCAACAUCCAUGGUGACAGUGAUGGAGUCGGGACUUAUGGUCAGUAGCGGCAAUAUUAUCUACAUAAAAUGAUGUCGUUAUUAUGCAAAGAGAAUUUUAAUUAAAGAUAAUCUUUUUAUUAUGAGUUUUUUGUGUUGAGAAAUUAUUGAAUUUAUUUCUUAUUCAAGUAGUAAACAAUUUUAUGUUUUAAUAGCUUUAAAACAUUUGUAUUGUGGGAGAGAUGUUUCAAAAAUUGGUUGGUUAAGAAGAUAAUGUAAAGGGAAUGAGGAUUUCUCAAGGGGCAAUGUAAAGGAAAAACUUGUACUUUUCAAAAUGGGAAAUUUGUCAAAUUGGUUCCUAACUUUUUUAGUCUCUAACAUUUAAAAUCAAUUAGAAUAACCCCUAACAUAUAAAUUAUGAGCCAAUUUGGUUCUAAUGCUCGUAUUUACCCAUUUCUCCGGUAAAAAAUAGCACGUCUCUCUCAUGUGAGUAUAAUUUCAAGGGCAAAACUGGAAAACACACUUCGUUUCUGGUUUCCAUCUUUCUUUCAUAUUUCCCCAAUUAAACCCUAAUUGUCUCGCAUCAAAACCAAAAUUGAAGAGGAAAAAAGCAGCUGCAACUGGAUGACUGUGCAAUUGAGCAAGAAUAACAAAAAAAUGCAAAGAAACUAACCUAUUGAAGAGUACAAUGGAUCUGAACAACAAACGAUAUCUUUGUGAAAAGGAACGCAUUAUUGGGAAUUCUUGGAAACCUAUAAAUCCGGGAAGAAGAUUCUAUACCUGCCCAAAUUAUAAAGUAAGUUUUCUAAGCAUUCUCAUGUUCAUCCGGGGGAGCGAAGUAUGUUUUUCAAUUUUACCCUUGAAAUUAUGUUCAUGUGAGAGAGGCAUGCCAUUUUUAGCCAAAGAAAUGAGCAACUACGAGCAUUAGAACCAAACCGACUCAUAAUUUAUAUAUUAGGGACUAUUCUAUCUGAUUGUAAAUGUUAUGGAUUAAAAAAAAAAUUUUUGAAAAUGUCGGGGACCAAUUUGGUAAAUUUUCCUUUCAAAAUUGAGGGGAUGCAGUUAUGACAAAAACAUAAAUAUUUUUAAUAUUUUCAAGGCUACUCUUUAAAUUUUGUAAAGUUGAGAGGAAGGGAGGGCAAUUGACCACCCUCAACAUGGUGGGGCUCCGCCACUACAGGGUGGUGCCAACCAACGCUGAACAUCUUUUUCUCCAGAGAAACAAUUAAUUAGUACUCCAUCUCGCAAUUAGCAGAUGGAUGCUUCCUAGUAAAGUGAGUACAUAUACAAAAAGAAACUCGGAAAACAGCAUCCCCAUGUGUCUUAGCGUUUAAGGUUGGUAAAAUGAAGGUUUCAGCAAGUUAUACAUUUUUUGUUGAAAGAAAUUAAUUAAGUUGAAAAAGCUUUCUUUUUUUCAAAAAAAAAAAAAUUUGUUGGUGCAUGUGUGCGUGUUAUAUUUUUUUAUUAUUUAUUUUUGGUGGAGGCUGGGGGUCGGCACGGUCACUAGCCCUUGUAACACGUAGAAAUUUCUUUCAAGCCAAAUAGCCAAAGCAAAUUGAACAAGAGAUUAUUUGAAAUAUUAUUUAAAAUAAUUACAUAUAACACUUUGCUAUAUAAUGUAUAUCUGAUAAAAAAAAAAGUGAUUAAAAAGAUUUAAAAAAUGUAUCAAAAAAUGUAUUGGUGAUUCAAACAAAUAAUUUUAAAUUAAUAUUUCAUAUACUGACAAUGUAUACAGUAGUUUCGCCAUAUAUAACACAGAAUCUGAAUUUAAAUUUGAAAUUCAAAUUUUACAUAUACAUCGUACAUCCAACCGUGAUAAUUUAUAGCGCAUAUAAGAUUUACUCAAUAAUUUUUUACGAUUAAUUCCUAUCCAAACCCGCAUUCAACCGUUGCGCUCAGCUACCUGAAACGACAGCAAAAGUACAAUUAAUACUAUGGAAAACAUAGACCGAUUCCCAAAUGCCAGGUCAGUUAGCCGUGACUUAAGGGCCUUAGGGGCUAAGGUUGCAAUGUGGGCAGAAAUCAAAUGCUUGCCUUUCCCCACAUGUUCCGUAAAGCCAACUCAACUUUAGGAAAAAUAUCAAAGCAAUUUAAGCAAAAGAAUAAAGACAUGAAAAGGGCAAAAAAGAAGAAAAGAAAAGCUAAUUGCGUUAAUAUAUAAAGAAGAGGUCAAUGCCAUAAAGCAAUGACUCACUAUCAUCAUUGAAUGUCCAAUACAGAAAAACAAAAAGGCAGUAGUAGCUGUUCAAAUCAUCCUCUGGUCCACCUUUUUAAAACUUUUCUUCCCAAGUAAGCAUCCCUAUUAAAGAAUUACGGGCUGAUCUAAAGAAGGCAACAAGAGAGCCCUAGCAGGCCAAGUACUACAGAUAAAAAUAUCACCAAGCAGUUGAGUGAAGACAUCAGAGAGUAUGCAAUCACCUUGCUUCAAGGCAGCUGAACGAGUAUGCCUGUACGGUUGCUGCACCAGUCCUCUACUUGUUACCAGUGAGGACCAGGAGCCCCAAAAGACGAGCUCCAAGUCCAAAAGCACAUUGGCUAGUUGCCGGCAAGGCUUUGCUGCCAUAACUGCUUCCACUUUCUUCCCAAACACACACUUCACCAACCAUGAAAAUCUCCCC